UUUUUUUUUUUUUUUAAAGUUAGUUAACAACUACAAUACACUGAAAUAUAACCAAGGCGGAGUCACAGGUCGGCAUCAUUAAAAUGAAAAAAAAAAUAUUUCUAUCCUUUACCAUUUAUAAAAUUUUAAAUUAAUAAUAUUUAAAUUACAUUUUAAUUCUUAAAAAUAAUAAAAAUUUGAUUUCAUCCUUUAAAAAUUAUAAAAAUAUAGAUUAUUAAAAUAAUAAAAUUAUAUUUUUAUUAUCGUAAAAAUAUAUAAUUUAAUUCUGCUCAUCCAAAAAAAAAUUUUUAGCUCCGCUACUAAAUAUAACACAAAUAUAAAUAUAAAGUAAAAUUAAAUUAAUAUAAUACAAAUCAAUUAAGAAUUAAAAUUAGCUCAUCGAACUAAAACUCAUACAUAAUGAAAUUGAAGAUUCGUAUACAAUAAUUAAACAUAAUGAGACUCGAACUUAAAUAUACAUGAUUGAAUAUUUUUUUUAGUAUUAAUUUAAUAUGGAUAUAUGAAUUGAUAAAGUUAAUAUUCACAAUACAAAACGAAGUGGACUAUAUUUUCCAUUCUAUAUUAAAUGAAUUUUUUACAAAUUUUUCACUUUAAAAUGAACAAGAAAAUGUGCUAUUAUUUUUAUGUUAUAAUACCUAAACUUAGAGCGGCAAGUUCAAGAAAAAGAAUUGGCAUAUUUUUAAGUAAAAUACAAAAAAACAGAAGAAAAAAAAACAUAUUGGUAUUAUCUCCUAAUGAUGAUGGCAGUUGAAUCUUUGUUUAUCCAACCAACUAUCCUUGGUGUACGUUAGAGUUUUGUCUCAUGGUAGGCAAUUAGAUCCAGUUUGUUUGGGGCACCUGCUUAUUCAUCGACCAAUUAUUUUGAGCCACCUCAAAAGUCUUGUUUUCAAAGUUGACUUUUAUGUACACGUGUCGUUGUUGUUGGUGCUGUAACUGAAAUUAACAGAUUCAGUGCAAACUUGUUAAGCAAGUCUCGAGACUUGCUGAGCAAACAAGAGAAUUCGAGCAAGAGAAAGGAAGAAAAGCUAAGAAAAAUGAAUAGAGAAAUUGAUGAACAAACUGAACUUCAUUCAUAAAAUGCAUAAUGGCACAAUGCCAAUACAUAAAACAGGCACUAAGCUUGUCAAAAACAGUAAGUAAUUACCUAAACAUCACCUACCUCCACUAAUGACAUGGAAACUUGAAAUUUUGGCUUGUAAACUUACACAAAGUUGUGUUUACAGCUCAUACAUAAGCUAAUUACAUCAGUCAACAAUCUAACUUAGUUAGAAAUGAACUAAGAUUACAUUUCAUUGACUAGGAAUUACAAAAUAAACAAAAUAAGCUUGCAUCAGCAGCUCCUGCAUGACUUGGUCUUCAUGGCCUGCAUGUUGUCGAGUUUGCUGCAUGCUGAACCAACUUCAUCACUCCUCCUUGGUUUGCAUGGAGCAAACACCUAGCUUCUUUCUUAGACAUUCGAACCUUGUGACACUAAGGGCUUUGGUUAAAAUGUCUGCAAGUUGAUCCUCUGAAUUACAGUGGAUCAGCUUUACUUCCUGAGCUUGCUCCAUUUCUCGAACAACAUGCAACUUGAUGCUGAAAUGUUUUGUUCUUCCAUGGAACACUGGAUUUUUAGCAAUUGCUACUGCAGAUUGGUUGUCACAGAAGAUCUCAGUAGCUUCCUCUUGAUGCACAUUCAAGUCAGCCAAUAUUUUCCUUAGCUAUAUGGCUUGGUUGACAGCACUUGCUGUUGCCACAUACUCUGCUUCAGCAGUAGAUUGAGCUACUAGACUUUGCUUCUUUGAGCUCCAGCAAAACAUGGCUGAACCAAGGUUAAAAGCAUACCCUGAGGUGCUUUUCAUGUCAUCUAUCGAGCCAGCCCAGUCACUAUCAGUGUAGCCAACCAGCUUCAGAUUUCCUUCUUUGCUGUACUUCAAACCAUAGUUUAAGGUGCCUUUGACAUAUCUCAGCACUCUUUUUGCAGCUUGGAAAUGCUUCUCAUUGCAGCAAUGCAAGAACCUUGAGAGUAAUCCUACAGCAUACAUGAUGUCUGGUCUAGUGGCAGUCAAGUAUAGCAAGCAACCAACUAGACUCCUGUAGGUUGUUUCACAAACUUUCUUAAAAUCACCUUGGCUCGAUAGUUUUUCUCCAACAGCAACAGGUGUUUUAGUUGCCUUGCUGUUUUGCAUGGAGAACUUGGUCAGAAUCUUUGUGGCAAAGCUUCUCUGGCUUAGAAAUAUCUCAUUCUGUACUUGAGACACUUCCAUUCCAAGAAAGUAUGACAUCUCCCCAAGAUCAGACAUUUCAAACACUUCCUGCAUCUUGGUCUUGAAAUCAGCCAGCACUACUCGAUCUCCUCCUGUCACCAGAAGAUCAUCAACAUACAGGGACACAAUGAGUUGUAUUUGUGUCCCUUGUUUCUUGACAUACAGUGUUGGCUCACUCUUGCUUCGAUCGAAUCCCAGAUCAGUCAAGUAGCCAUCGAUUCUGCUAUACCAAGCCCUUGGAGCCUGUUUUAAUCCAUAUAGGGCCUUCUUCAGUUUGUAGACCAUAUGCUCUCUGCCAGCUAUUUCAAACCCUUGUGGUUGUUCAACAUAGAUGUCUUCAUCUAAGAAACCAUUCAGAAAGGCUGAUUUCACAUCAAGUUGAUGGAUCUUCCAUUCGAGCUGUGCUGCUAAGGCAAUCAGCAGUCUGAUGGUGUCGAGCCUGGCCACUGGUGCAAAGGUCUCCAGGUAGUCCAAGCCAUACCUCUGACUGAACCCCUUGACAACUAGCCUUGCUUUCAGCUUGUUCAAGGUACCAUCAGCAUUCUGCUUGGCUUUGUACACCCAUUUCACCCCAAUCACCUUCCUUUUGACUGGCCUUUCAACUAAUUCCCAGGUCUGGUUCUUCUCAAUCAUGCUGAUCUCCUCAGUCAUUGCCUGCUUCCACCCUUGCUGAGCCUCAGCCUCUUCAAAGUUGCUUGGUUCAGCUAUGGCUACAUGAGCCCUUUCAUAAAUUUCAGCCAAUGGCCUUGUUCCUCUGACUGGUUCAUCAUCAAUAUCCAUUUCAGGGACAUUUUGGUCUGGCUCAGCUUGGUCUAUUGCAAGUUCUUCAGAAACUUCUUCAGGUUCAUGUCUUUCCCAGUUCCAACAUGACCUCUCAUCAAAUACCACAUCCCUGCUUACUGACACUUUGUUUGUUGAAGGAUCUAAAAUCCUAUAGCCCUUCUUAACAGUGCUAUAGCCCACCAAAACACCAGGUCGAGCCCUUUCAGACAAUUUGUCCCUUUUAACAGCAGGUACAUGUGCAUAACAGAUGCAUCCAAAGACCUUCAGAUGAGCCAGUGAUGGCUUGAAGCUAAACCAGGCCUCGAAUAGGGUCUUUUGAUCCAAAGCCUUGGUUGGAAGUUUAUUUUGAAUGUAUGUUGCAGUGUUAACUGCUUCUGCCCAUAGUGCUUUAGGCAGAUUCUUCUGAAUCAUCAAGCACCUGGCCAUAUCCAUCAAACUCCUAUUCUUCCUUUCACUUACCCCAUUCUGCUGAGGUGUAUAUGUGUUGGUAAGUUGAUGUUUGAUGCCUGCCUUAUCACAGAAGGCUUGGAACUGAGCUGAGGUGUACUCAGUCCCAUUAUCAGACCUUAUGGUCUUCACCUUGCAGCCUGUUUCAGUCUCAGCAGCAGUUUUGAACUUCCAAAACACAGUGGCCACCUCUGAUUUCUGUUUUAAGAAGUAAAUCCAGCAAUAUCUCGAGAAAUCAUUAAUGAACAGUAUGAAAUACCUGUUUCCACUUAAUGACUCAGUCUUCAUAGGGCCACACACAUCAGUAUGCACCAGUUGGAGUUUUUCAGAGGCUCUCCAGGCUUGAUUCGAGGGAAAUGGGAGUCUGGCCUACUUUCCUAGCUGACAUACUUCACAUACAUCAUCAUGGUCCACUGAGUUGAUGAAGUUUUCAGCCAGGUCUUCUCUGAUCAUUCAGGCCAUCGAUAUGAAGUUGGCAUGUCCCAGUCUUUGAUGCCACAGCUUGGAUUCAUCUGAAGUGGCUGUGUAGGCAAUGUCUGACUUCUUUGUCCAGUCAACCACAAAGAUCUUAUCAGCCAUGGGGACUGCCAUCAGUUUGGAUCCACUUGGAUCACUGAUUUGGCACUGGUGGUCUUUAAACACAACUGAAUAACCUUUUUCCAGUAACUGAGCUAUGCUGAGCAGGUUUCUGUCAAUUUCAGGCACCAACAGCAUAUUUGAAAUCACUUUGGUACCUGUAAGGGUGCAUAUCAGCACAUCACCCUUGCCUUCAGCUUGAAUAAAAUGACCAUUUCCUAUCUUGACUUUAGUUCUGCAGCUUCUGUCUAAAGACUUGAAGAUUGCAGCAUCAGGUGUCAUGUGGUUGGCGCAUCCACUGUCUAGGAGCCAACCAGAUGAGGACCUUUCCUGAGCAGCUGAGCAUGACACAGCAAAAACUUGCUCCUCUUGGUCACUGUCCUCCUUAGCUACUCGAGCCUCAGCUUUCAUCUGUUGAAACUGAUUGUGCCUUGAUUUGGCCUUGCUCUUACAGACUCUCUCAACAUGACCCUUCUUCUUACAAUGCUGACACACAGCAUCUGGAUUGAACCAGCAUUUUUCUUCUGAAUGACCAGCCUUUCUACAAUGCUUGCAAGUCUGACCUUCUUUCCUUGCAGCAUCAUUCUUUGGCUUGUCUCUCCAGGCCUUCUUGCCUUUGUAGGCAGUAUUUGUUCUUGCCUGAAAGGCACCUUCUUGGUGCUCCUCCAGUCUGCUUGCUCUCCUCUGCUCUUGAGCAUAUAGAGCAUUGAUCAACUCUGUCAGGGAGAUGGUGGACAGGUCCCUUGAGUCCUCGAGAGAUGAGAUUUUUGCCUCAUACCUCUCAGGCAGAGUUGCUAUAACCUUCUCCACUAUCCUAGCUUCAUUGAACUGCUCUCCAAGGAGCCUGAUGCUGUUAACCACAGCCAUAAUCCUGUCAGAAUAUUGCUUGACAGUUUCUUCUUCCUUCAUCUUCAAAUUCUCGAAAUCUCUCCUCAAGUUUAACAACUGUUGCUGCCUUGUCCUCUCUGUCCCUUGAAACUCUUCCUGCAACUUGUCCCAGGCCUGUUUUGGUGAUUCACAGGCCAUAAUCCUUGUGAAAAUCACAUCAGACACUGAGUUUUGGAUGCAAGACAUAGCCUUGUGCCUCUUGGUCCUUUCAUCAGCAUGCUGCAUGAUCUGAGCCACUGUUGGAUUAGCUCUAAGUGGCUCUGGUUCAACAUCAGAGUUGACCACCUCCCACAGAUCGAAAGCCUGCAGGUAGGUCUUCAUUUUGACCACCCAUAUGUGAUAGCCUUCUCCAUUGAAGACUUGAGGUGCAGCUGGUGAAAAGCUUGAUGAAGCCAUGGAUUUGUGUAACAGAUCCCUUAAGAAAUAGGCUCUAGAUACCAAUUGUUGGUGCUGUAACUGAAACUAACAGAUUCAGUGCAAACUUGUUAAGCAAGUCUCGAGACUUGCUGAGCAAACAAGAGAAUUCGAGCAAGAGAAAGGAAGAAAAGCUAAGAAAAAUGAAUAGAGAAAUUGAUGAACAAACUGAACUUCAUUCAUAAAAUGCAUAAUGGCACAAUGCCAAUACAUAAAACAGGCACUAAGCUUGUCAAAAACAGUAAGUAAUUACCUAAACAUCACUUACCUCCACUAAUGACAUGGAAACUUGAAAUUUUGGCUUGUAAACUUACACAAAGUUGUGUUUAUAGCUCAUACAUAAGCUAAUUACAUCAGUCAACAAUCUAACUUAGUUAGAAAUGAACUAAGAUUACAUUUCAUUGACUAGGAAUUACAAAAUAAACAAAAUAAGCUUGCAUCAGCAGCUCCUGCAUGACUUGGUCUUCAUGGCCUGCAUGCUGUCGAGUUUGCUGCAUGCUGAACCAACUUCAUCAGUUGUGUUGGAACGGUCAUAGUAUGAACUUCAGUACACCAGAGUGUUGCUCUGCAUGGGAAACAAAGACAAUAAUAAAGUUAACAAGUAUGCUUCACAACAAUGACUGGCAAGCUAACAAUCUCCUUUUAGUCCAGUAAUUCAAUAGUUUGUAGUGUUUUUGCUACGCUAUCUCUGAAAGUUUUCCUGAUUAACUCAGACCGAAACAGAUUUAGAAAAGAAAAGUGCUGGAAAAACAAUGUUCAGGUUGCAUAAAACAAGGCAAACACCGCCGCCAAGUAAUAAAUCAGGGGAAAAGAUAGAUUUUACGUUCUCCAAUUUCAAACUGGUUCAGGUAAUCAUUCAUUUCGUCCUCAUCUUGUUCUUCUUCUAUGUUCCAUUUUACUUACAUUAUAUGUGUGUGUGUGUUUUCUGGUGUUUUUAUAUAGGUACCAAAAGGAUGGGACAGAUUGAUCAUGUCGAUAAUCUCAAUGGAGAAUGGGAAAACCAUGGCAAAGACAAGCAAAGCAGUAGUUCGAAAUGGGAGUUGUCAAUGGACAGAGACUUUGUCGGAAUCUAUUUGGGUUUCAAAAACAGUGAUGGAAGAUUGUUUCUUCAAGCUUGUUGUUGCAAUGGUAACUUUGUUAAUGAAAUACCGUUGGAUCUUAGUUUACAGUUCUGUAUAUUGUUGUUGGAAACAUGAUCUGAACAUGUUCGAUUCAAUUAAGGUGACAAAUUAGAUGAUAAAAGAAGGAUGAAAAGAAAAUGAAUAUUGAAAUUGUAGGGAUCAGCAAGAUCUAGCAUUCUUGGAGAGGCGACAGUGAAUAUGACAGGCUAUAUAAAUUCAACCAUCACUGUUCCGGUCUCAUUGCCAUUAAAAAAAUGCAACCAUGGAACAGUUUUGCAGGUGAUUUUUCAACGAUCUUAUUUCUUCUCUAUUAUUAUUAUUAUUAUUUGUUUUUUUACAUUAAAUGCAUACCAUUUAAUUAGAAACAUGAAGACAAAGGAACCAUUUGCUCGGUUCGCUAGUGGCUGGACCCGUUUUAAGGCGGUGGGGGCUGCCCAUGUUAGUCAAGGUCCAAUGAGUAAACCUCUUUUCCACUAUCGCUAAAUAGCAUGCAUUCAUUGGGUUGGUUAUGGCCCCUGUAUCACACAUCAUAUUUUAUUUAACAUGUUACAACUUGGAACACAUGACCAACAGUUGCAUUAAAAACAUAAGCUGGUACUUGUAAUGAUGAUUUGAUGGAAAUAUUUUCAUAUAAACAGAUUUUGAGGUCGGUUAGUAUUUUGGACAUCACUUCAGUUUUAGCUGGUAGUUGUAAGCUGUUAGAAGAUUCAAGUUUGGUCGAAACAAAAAAAAAAAGCGAAAGAGAUAUCUUAGGAAGAUGGUUACCUCCUAAGUAAUUUAGAUUUUAGAGCAAAUUUAAUUACAUGAACUAAAUUAAAGUAGGACUUUUGAUAAUAUGAAUGAAACAGAAAAUUGAAACACAGUUGUCUUUUUCUAACGAAUAUUGCACUUGUGAUUCUGAUAUGCAGAUGAAAAUUCAAUGUUUGACACCAAGACGAAAACCCAUGUUUGUAUCAUUCCCUGCCCUUCCUUCCCUUGUUUUUUGUUUUCCUUUAAAUGUUGUAUUGGAUCAUAAACACUUGCACUGGAUUAUUUCAGGGACAAUGAAUCAAAGCAGACAAAUUUCCAUAAAGAAGGUAAUAGCACUGAACACUCUCCUGAUCUAAGCCUUACCUCGGAUAGUCCAGAGAGUUUAAUUGCAAAUAGUGAUGGGUCGUCCCCAAGUUCAGCCCCACGCCAAGAAGAACUCGUGAGUAGGGUACGUUAGAGUCUCAUCCUGUUUUGUUGUUAAAUCAUAUUUAAUGACUGUAUUAACAAUGCUAAACUUCCAUUACUGCAGGAAGCAAGUUUCUCAGCUUCUGAUUCCCAUUGCAGCUAUGAUUCAGCUGCAAGCAAUUUGAAUGGUGACACUCGGAGCCUGAUGGGAAUACAAGAUUCACCCAUUUCCCAAAAUGGGAAUUCUCACAUUGAUGACCAUCUUUCUCAUUCAAAUCAUUCAUCGUUUGUUUCACAAAGCAGUUUUUCGGAUAAUAAGCAAGAGUUUUGUGCUGCAUCAACUUUAAGAUCCACAGAUCCUUCCAAAAAUCUUCUUGAAGCAGCAGAGAAAACGAUUGAAGAGCUUCAUGCAGAAGCAAAGAUGCGGGAAAGGAAUGCGGACAAGUUAAUGCUUGAUUUGGACAUGUUGAGGAAAGAAUACUCUGACCAGUCUAAAAAUAACGCAAUUUUGGCUAUGGAGCUCUCGGCAGCGAAUGUGGAACGCUAUGGACUACAAAAAGAAGUUGAACAGCUGAAAACGUUGUUGGAGAAAUCAAUCGCGAAACAACCAACCUAUGAAGAUUCAACAUUUGAGGAUGCUGGAACAACCCUUUUGCACAAGGAACUGGAAAAUGAAAUUAAGUUCCUAAAAGAGUCUAAUGACAGCCUCGCUUUGCAGUUGAAGAGGAGCCAAGAUGCAAAUGUUGAGCUUGUUUCAGUUCUUCAGGAGCUGGAACAGACCAUAGAAAAGCAAAAAGUUGAAAUGGGGACUAUUACAGCCCUGCAAUCACAGGUGAGUGAAUUGGAGAACUGUAUGCAGCUAAAUUCAGAGGAAAACAGCAACUUAAUGAUACAGCUUCAACAAUCAAGGGAAUCAGAGAAGAAUUUGCAGGCUGAGGUCCAAUAUCUUGAACAGAUGAAAAACAAAGAAAGUGAUGCCCUUUUGGAUAUUGAGGACGAAUACAAGACUAAGUUAGCAGCUAAAGAAAGGGAAAUCAUUGGUUUGAAAGUAAAGCUAUCCGAGUCUCGAAAGGAAGGAAAUUUCGCGAAUCCGGAGUCUCGAAAGGGCCACGAAGCACCUCUGAUCAGAGAAAUUGAAGCCUUAAAAGUAAAACUAGAGGAGUUAGAAACUGACUGCAAUGAGCUGACUGAUGAAAAUCUUGAAUUACUACUCAAGAUAAAGGAAACAAAGAACAAUGUCAAUGGAGGAGUUGCUUCCAAUGAUUUUUUGUCUGAUGAGAUUUCAGCUAAGCUUGCAAUGAGAGAACAGAAGUCAGAAAUGCUUUUCCUGGAAGAGAAACUAAGAAAGAAAAUUCUGAGGGAGAUUCAAAGUGAUUAUAAUAGUUACAUUCUGGAACUUGAAACUCAGACAAUAGAACUGGAAGCUAAAGGAACUGAAGUAGUGAAGGAGUUAACUCAGAAAAGGACUGAAAUGCAAACACUGGAGGCUACUUUGCAGUCAAAGGAAGAGGAGAACAUGGAGCUUAGAAUGAAUCAGAGUAAACUGCAGGAUAUGCAUCAUCAGUUGCUGGCUGCUGAAGAUAAGUGUGAAUAUCUGAGAAGAGAAAAUACAAAGUUACAAGCAACUAAUGAGACACUCAUUGAAGAAUGCAAUUCACUUAACAAGUCAGCUGAAGGGUUGAGGAAUGAGAAGUCAGAAUUGGAAGAGCAUUGUGCUCAGUUGGAGGCCAAAUUAAAAGAAUGCAGCAAAAAAGUUGAAGUUUUGGACGAAAAUCUAACUUUGGUGAUUGAAGACUUUGCAUCAAAAGAGAAAAAACUAACAUUGGAAUUAAAUGCAAUUCAUGAUAAGAGCAAGAAACUUGAGGCAAAACUGAAGCUUGAAGAAAGCUCCUGGAACCAAAUGUAUUUGGAGAAGACCAAUGAAGUUGAGAAUCUUGUACUAGAGGUGGAAAACCUUGGUAAGCAACUCUCUGCAGCACAUCAUGAGAAAGAGAAAACAGCUUGUGAAAUUUCUGGUUUACAAGCAGAUAAACUUAGACUGGAUUUGGCUCUUGAAGAAGCUCAAUCUAACCUGAAACUUACACUGAGUGAAUUCAAGAAAAUAGAAAGUGGAGCUAAAACACAAGUGGAAGACCUAUUGGGUGAACUUACAGCUGCUAGAGAAAACCAUGAAAUACUGAUGGCAGAACAUGAAAAAGCUUUGAAGUUGUUAGAGAGUUACAAAUCCAGUGAAGGGAAACUUAAAACCAUUGUGAAUGAGCUUGAACUAAAGCUAACUGUUUCUGAAUAUGAAAGACAACAAGUAUCAGAGCAAUCUACCAAUAUGAAGGUUCAGCUGCUGAAGAUAGAAAAUCUUCAGGAUGACAUUUCGGCUCUGACAGAUGAACGCAAUGCGAUUAAAGCCGAUAAAGAGAAACUGGAAGCUUCAUUGUAUCUAAUAUCCAGAGAAUGUGAUGAUCUGAAAGCAGAGAAAAAUUACUCAACGCAGCAGAUUUCUACCUUGCAAAAGGUGGUUUCAGAAAUAGAGGACUAUAAACAUGAUAAAAUAGUCUUGGAAGAAAAACUUGUGCGGACGGAAGGCGAUCUCGUGGCGAAACAGGCUUUAUUAAUGCAGGAUGAAGAAAUUAAAAACGAGCUUAAUGAGAUCAAGCAAACAAACAGGCAAUUCCAGCAGCAAAUUAAACAGCUUCAAGAGGAGAAAGAUAAGCUUCUCAUAAAAGCUCAAACCCUUGAAGAAAAAUUGAAACUGAAAGUGGAAGAAAAACAGAAGCAGCGCCAUUCCAAUUCUCACAGAAACAAAAGAGAGGCAAGGAAUCUACUUCCAUUACGAAACCACAUAGUUCCUUUGAUUUAGAAUUUACAUCUUGGUUAUUCGCAUAUGAAUAUUAUGAACUGGUAUAAAUUCUGAAUUUAGUUUUUCAGCUCUCUCUCCAGGAUAGGCAUUACGAUUCCAAUGAGGGAAGCCAUGAAAAUGAAUUUGCCAGGGUCAUGGAAGCCAAUAACAAGUAUAGACUUCGUGUAAAUCGGUGAGACUAGUAACAUGUUACAGCAUUAAUAAAACCCAGAAUUUAUCUUCCCUGAUGAAGUUUAACUCCAUGACUUUUUCCUCCCAUAUGUCAUCUUCCAGUUCCAGGUUAUCAGAGGGUCGAAGAAGUCAAUCAAAUACUCCAAGAAAAUCAUCCAUUGAAGGUGAAGUGGUGGCAAAAGAGAAAUAUGAACGUACAAAAUCAACUCUAGAGGCAGAGUUAAGUGACAUCCGCGAGCGUUAUCUCCAAAUGAGCCUUAAAUACGCAGAAGUAGAAGCUCAACGUGAAGAACUUGUCAUGAAGCUUAAAGGAGUGAAGAGCAUUAGGAGGUGGUUCUCAAACCCUUCAAAUUAACCAAAUCUUCUUUUUUCCCCUAUAAUUUGAAGUUUCAUUUUCUCCCUACAAAAUUCUUAUAAAAUACUGCUAGGUAGAUUGCAUUUUAUCAAAAUGGAAGAAAGUGUGUUUUUCUCCUGAGACAAACAACAAAGAUGCUUAUCUGGGUUUGUAACCAAUAAAAGGCCCAGAUUGGCACUUAGCAUGGCUGCCUGAUUGAAGGCGAGAUUACUAUUACUACUGUAUUACUUUAUCUUAUCAAUGCAAAAGCUUUUGGUCCAAUCUUGAGGCACAUUUCCCAUUCAGAUUUAGAACUUAAUCGCGUCCUUUGAUGCAACAUUUCGUUCUUUCUUGGGAUCAUACACUGAUUUCCUGUUCAUUUAACUACAAACGAUAAUGCUAAGUUUAAUCCAAGUUUUAACAUCUUCGUUUUCUUCGAAAAUAACUCCAGUUGAAUGGAGAAAAUAGUCAUAAAAUUUUGGUACCUUUUCUCAAUUUAGUUUCUAAAUUUUUUAACACCUUAAAAAGUGAAGACGAUAUAUUCUUUAGUGUGGUGUCAAUUGUCAUCAUUUAAAAAGAUAUACUACUUUUUUAUAUUACAUACAUUGCAUAAGAAUACAUAUAUUUUUAUUAUUUUUUAUUUUUUAUUUUUUAUUUUUUAUAAUUGGAGAUGGAUUAUUUCAGCAAUUAUUAAGAAUUUGAAUAAAGGUAAAGAAACAACUUUAUCUUGAAAAUUUAUAUGAAUAUUUUAAAUAUUGAUUUCCCAUAAAUAAAAAUUAGGGGAAACUACAUAAAUUGUCCUAAGUUUUAUUUAAAAUUAUAUUUUGGUCACAUAACUUUCAAAAAUUACAUAAUAGUUACUAACGUUUUUAAAUUGUUACAUUUUUGCCACUCGGAUGUUAACUUCCAUUAAAAAAAGUAAUAUUGCACCUUUAAUUCAAAGGGUUAAUAGCUAAUUUGGUCCCUUAACUAUAGUUAAAAAAAUCAUUUUAAUAUUUUAAAAUUUUCUAAUUAUUGUUAUUAAGAAAAAUUUUAAACUAUUAGGGGCCAAAUUAGCUAUUAACCCUUUAAAUUAAGAUGCAACAUUAUUUUUUUUAUCAAAAGUUAACAACUGAGUGACAAAAAUGUAACAAUUUGAUAACGUUAAUGACUAUUAUGUAGCUUUUAAAAGUUAUGCGACCGAAAUGUAAUUUUAAACAAAGUUUAGGGAUAAUUGAUGUAGUUUACCAAAAUUAAUAUUAUUAAUUGUUUUGAAAUUAAUGAAAUUAUAGUUACUUAUCUAUACUAUUAAUUAAGCUUUUGAUUAAGUUGGUGUCAUGAGUCAACCGGACAACAACUCAGUUAGAGAAAUUAUGAAAAUGUAUUUUUGUAAUUAAAAUAAGAUAUAUUAUUUGAAGACAUUUUAAUAUUUUUAUUUUAAAGAACAAUAAAAAUAUGCAUAUGGUAGGAUUUGAUCCCAUGCCAAUUACAUUAAUGAAACCUUUAAUUUAAAAUUCAACUAAAGCUUUUUUUUUUUAAUAUUUUUGUACAUUUUAAUUUUAUUAUCAUAUAUAUUUCAUGUGUUAUUAUCAAUUAGUUUCAAACUAUACAUUUUGUUUUAUUGUAUAUUAUUUUUAAACAUUCAUCUAUGUUAGAAAUACAUGGUUUCUAUACGUGUAGAAUUUCUUAUUAAUAAUAUUGUUGAUUGAGUUGGUGUCACAAGUUAACUCGGCACCAACUUAAGAUUGAUAACACCACCAUGGUAAACAGUUGUACUCUUAUUUUUAAUCUGAUGUGUUUGUAUUUUGUUUUACUCACAAUUUAAUCUAAUUUUUUUAUUUUAAUAUCGUACAUAUUUCAUUGUUAUUAUUAAUUAAUUUUAAACCAUACGUUUCAUUAUUUAUUAUAUGUUAUUUUCGAACACAUUUUUAUAUUCUAAAUACCUAGUUUCCAUACGUAUACGCAUGUAAUAAAAAAUCCUACUUCACAUUAAUAAAUAUUCACAUAAUAUUUUUCCAUGCAAUGAAAUAUUUAUCUUUUAGGUUGUGUAGUGCAUGAGGAACGGAAUCCAAUAUAGCUCUUUUUACAUUUGUAUUUAUCACUAAGAAAAACGUAUAGUGUCUCAAAAGAGCUACGUGAUCUACAUUUCAAUCUCAUUCAUCCUCUUUUUAACUUUUAAAGUUGUGAUAAUUUUUCCUACCAAAACAAUACAUAAUCCAACCAAAAAAAAAGUUGUGAUAAAUUUGGCAUCUACAAAUUGAUCGUGUAGUCCUAUCCCGAAGGUUAUGCAACAUUCUCCACCAUCCGCGAUAAAAGCUAGUCGUCACUUCAUAUAGCAGCUUGAAAUAAUAUCAGAAAUUCACAAGCAGAAUUUUUCUCCUUGCAAGUGGCAGGAAGUGACUGGUUAACAAGGCCCACUCUAGAAACAUGACUCUCGAGUCGCCACCAGAUAAAACGACCCAUAAUAUAUCCCCAUGUGAUAAACAGGAAAGAGUAGCCAUCGCAAUUUAAAAUCCCAGGGGCUUUGAAAGGAAACAAAAGGAAAAAAAGGGAGAUGUCAUCAUAAUGUGGUGCAAAUUAGGGUUGGUGGCAAUGGCAUAUACUUUGGAAGAUGCUGAAACUAGCAAACUCAACUUCACUCGAUUCCCACUUCUCUUGUUUGCUUUUCUUUUAUUAAAAAAAGUAAAUUUGAUAAUUCUGGAAACAAUGUGAAUAUGAAAUACAAAAAUUAAUUAUAAUAAGAUACGGCAUGAAAAAAUAACAUGAAAUAUAAAUACAUAAAAAAAUUAUUAAAAAAAUAAUAAAAGAUUAUAUAAAAACAUUAUAUUAAAUAUGUUUUAUGAUAAAAAAUAAUAAUAUAAAUAUAUGGAAGGGAUUGAUGUGACGACACACUUUUACUUAAAGUCACCGCGCCCUUUUAUUGCCCUCAUGACCAAGGAAGAUUUAAAUUAAAAACUAUAUCAACCCAUACAUAGCUUCAGUAUCAGCCCUCUUAUGUUCUGCACCAUCAUCACCAGGCCAUCCCUGCCGAUGGCUUGAAAUGCUCAAAUCAGGCAGGCAGGGAUGGCCAAGGCUUUCUUUUUCGCUGAUGAUGGAUCGCUUCCAACCAGGUAGCGUGGGAGUAAAUGAAGAAUUGAAUUGUUCAAAAAACUGAAUCCCCUUUCCUCAAAUGGCAAAUUCUCUUAUAGGGCAACUUCGAUCCUUUGGCAAUUUUGGCUUUCUCUGCAACAUUUGCAGGGCUAGCUCGAGGUAACUUUCACCAGUGGGCGUCAGAUUCUCUUAUUAUAUAUGCAUUUGGUAUGUAUUUGUUUGUAGGCCAAUGGCCAAGGUUUUAGUAUGCUGCAGUAUUGUUGUACCGAGUUGUAUUUGCUGAAUAAAUUUGCUCUAAAUAAUGAUUAAUGAUGAGUGAUAAGCUUGCUUAUAAGUUCAAUGGAAGCUUGUUCUAAGAAGAAAACACACACAAGAACGCUUAGCAAUGCCAUAAUAGUUACAGUAAUAUGGUACAUUUAUUUAAAUCUUAUCCCUUUUCUCUUAAAAAAACAUAAUUAAAUGGGUCCAUAUGCUCUUACUUUAGAGAAAUGGGAUCCCUUUAUGUUUUUAUCUUCUUCUUCUUUUGUUAAUGCCAUUUACGAAAAGACACGAGAGUCUAACCAUGUGUUGGAUAUAUGAUCAUCUUUAUGUUUAUGAAUACUAUUAUUUGCUAUAAUUUAAAAAGGGCCAUUAAUAUACAUAUUUAAGUAGUCUAAGCUGACAACAAGGAUUGGAAAUCAUCUUCAUAAACAUUCAUAUGGUGUUUAAGUUAUUUUGACCUUACCUCUUUGUGCAAGAGCUUUUAAGUUGAUGGGUUGUUUCGUUAGGAUAGGAAGAUUUCUUGGGAGGGAAGACAAAACAGUUCAAGUGUGAAAAUUCUUUUGAAUGAAUCUGACAUAAAAUCUAAUUCAAUUUGAGUUAAAUUUUAAAAUUAAAAUUCAAGCCCAAAAAAUCUAAGCUUUGAGAAAAAAGUUUGAAUUCAAGAAAAUUCGAGUCUGAAAAAGAGCUCAAGCUUAAGAAAGCCUAAGCCAGUAACUAUCCUUUUCCGAGAUAAAUUCAAUCCUAAACUGAAAAAUAAUUAGUUUGCAGUUAUGAUAAACUAACUUUGUUUAAAGUUUGUUAUAAACAAUUAGAACCAAAAUAGACAGCGUAAGAAAAAUGAGAAAAAAAAAAAUUGACACAUCCGAUCUUUGUUUACAUAAUUCUGAUAUAAAGAUUCUAUGCCUGCGGAAUCUCACUCAAGAUAAAUCUUUAUUCAACCACCAAACACUUCAAGAAUACUCUUCUUUCUUUAUUAUCUAAAGCUCACAACUCUACAUGCAGCAUCGAUGAAAAACUAAUAAUCUCACACCACACAAUAGUCACAAGACAGAAAUUUCACUAAGUGUUACAAACACCCUAUUCAACAAAACACUCACUCAAAAGAAGAAAGAAAUAAACAAGCUAAUAAACAACAAGAUGCUCAGCCAAUAUAAUAUGAAUGACUAUCUUAUGUAAAACACAAAACUUUACCGUUAGCCUAGCCGGAGAAAGAGGAGUACUUUUGGUCAUUAACAAUAUGGUUGUGGUCUUGGGUACAUUCAUCACUAAUACUCUGAUUAUUCAGAAAUCAAUUGAUAAUGUCCAGACUAAAAUUAAAUAAAUUCUCACGUCCCUUAACUUACUAAAAGUUAGCCGACCCUUCAACGCCAAUGUCGUACUGUAGAUUGCAAUAGAAUUCUUGCACAAUUUCUUUGACAUAUGUUCUCGCAAAAGUGUUAAUUAGACUUUAGGAGAUUUUUCGUUUUAAUAUAACGAUUCAAAAAUUAGUGAUGCAAAAAAUUCAGUUUUGAGACCCUGUUUUAGUAAACCGGACUAUAAAUAAUUUUAUUAAAUAUUUAUAAAGUUAUAUAUUAGAUAAAUUAAAUUUUGAAUAUUAAAUUAGUAAUUAAUUAAGGUAUAGGAGCUAAAUUGUAAAAAUUAAAUUACUAUAGAUUUUUAAUUGAAAACUUAGAUUAAGGAUCAAUGUAGUAAUAUACCACAUUGGAAGUUUAGUGGACCGUAAAUGAUCCUAUAUUUUACACGUUACUUUUUUCUUUUGUUUUAAUUGAAACUAAAAUAUUUUUCAACUUUGUUUUAAAAUAAAAUUUAUUUUGAAUAGAAUUUAAAUAUUUUUAUAAUUUUUUGAAUAAAUCAAAGGUAUUUGUCAUAUUAUUGUUUCGAUAGCAUCUUUCAUUCGUACUGUACAUUAGGACAGGUGAAGGGUGUUAUAAUUAUAAUGCAAGAAGGCAAUUUAUAUUAAUAGGUAAUUUGAAUUAUACAUUGUCCGUAGAAAUAAAAUUGAACAAUUGACUCAUGUGAACUAUUAUAUUGUCUAUAAGUCUAACUGGGAAGAUUAUUUGUCUUAACUAUAGGAGAGAAUGACUCUCAAAAAUAGAGACACAUGUGUAGUUGUCUAAAUUGACAAUACAUCAACUAGACUCAAAUAGAAUUUAUCUUAGAUCUGUUUAUGAAUUUACUCGCUUGUAACAUUUAUAGUGUGACUUAUCUCAAUCAUGUCUAAGUGACUAGCUUUGUGUACAUAGUUCAUGUGCUUUGAUAUAUUGAAAGCAUGUGCUCUCAUGGUAGUAAGCUAAAAGUUGACAUAUGAGGCACAUAAUUUAUGUAUGACAUGACUUCACUUAUAAUAGUAGAAUUUAUAACUCAGUUGAAGAGUAAAUGAUAUUUUUUCAUUGGCUGAUACGAGCAUUAAAACUCAUUGUUAGGCCAUUGGUGUGAUGGGCUAAGUUUGCUACAAUGCCCAAUAACUCAGUCCAAAACUAAACAAUUCAAAAAUCAAUUCAACGUGUUGAUUCAAGAAUGAGCGUCAAAACAUUUUCAAGAGAAAGAAUUGGAAGAUCCAAUCGCUCAAGACUUUGUUUCAUGUUGUUUGGGUUACAAAGAUGCAAGUCAAUUAAUGAAGCUAAAUGGACGUUUUUUGUAAGCUUACAAGAGACCCAACUGUGAAGAGUUGGGCCAUACGUACAAGCAAUGAAUAAUCUAAUUACAAAAGCUUUAAAAAAAUAAAAAUAAACAAAAAAUAAUAGUUAUCUCUAAACUUUUCUAUCACAUAAGGAAUCAGAAAAUGAUUUAAAGUUUUUUAAAAUUAAUUUUUAAAUAUUUAUAAGUAAAAAGCAAGAAUUCGUAACAUACAAAUUGCACUCGACUUUAAUGAUGAAUUACAACAAAACUGUGCUAGUGCAAUAUAGCGUUGCGACACCCAUUUCUUAGUUUAUUCAAUCGGUUUUGAGCGAUUCGCAAAUUAGUCGGCCUAACCCCCUAUCUUCAGAUAUGUAUCCUGAUAAAUUUAAUUUAAUUUAAACAACAUAAAAGAAGAAGUAAACAUAUUUAAACAAGUUUACAUAAAUUGAAAAAAGAAAGAAAUUAAUAAAAUUAAAUCAACAAAUUUCUAUCAAAUCGCUAGAGUUAUCAUUAUUAAAGGAUAAUGGAAGAGGUUGUAUAGGUUUGAACCUCAUAAUUGAUGCAAGACAAAUCAUUUCCUAUUAUACCUGUGGCUAGUUGACAUCAAAUUCCAAGGGUUAAGCCUAAGAUUAUGUAUAUAAUCUACCUUAUAUUUUGCAUGACUUUAGCGUAUGAUGCGUCGUUGAGAGCACCAAAAAUAUCCUAUUCCCUGUAAAACAAUGAAAAAGAAAUAGUAAAGGGGAAGUAGGGUCGAAUCCUCAGGGACCAAAUUAUACGAAUGCUUGUUUCUCGAAAUCCUGGGUAGAAUCGUGCCCAAGAAAACCUGCGUUCUUGGAAAAAAAAAACAAAAUUUAAGAAUUGAUUUUGGAAGAGAAAAAUAAAAUAAAACAGAAUUUAAAGUUUACUGAAAUUAUGAUCACGAAAAUAAUAAAAAUAAUAAAGAGAGUUUAAAGAGAAAAGAAAUUCUUAUGGGAAAGUUCCAACCUCCGGUUGUCUCAUUCCACAUUGGGCUCAAUCCUUGGCUUUUGGAUGAUCCUUCUCGACUCAAGUAAGCCAGUUAUAGUAGAAGAGGACGCCUAAGACCACCAGCUCCAAAGAUUAGACUUACGAUUUUUAGGGAACCUGACUCUAACCAGUAAUCUAUGCUAAAUCAACGCUUCUCAAUGGCGAAUCCCACGCCAUUUUGUCUCUUUGGCUCGCCAACCUCUGAUGCAGUAAGUUAACGAACCGACUAUGCAAUCCUUCCAAAACAUACAAAGCGGCCGCCUUUGCAUAUGCUGAAAAGCUUACUUCUUAAGGGCCAUGGACAGAAGCGUCAGCCCGUAGUGCGGAGAAACGAUGAAUACUUGGCGAGAAGGCUAAGUACGGAUUCUAGGACUCAAGAACCUUUUUUGGGGAAAUAUUGACAACAUUUGGCUAGAAGGAUUUUAGUGGCUCAUGAUAAUGCACUACAGGAGAACAGACUUUUAGCGGCGUUUUCACAAGCGCUGCAAAAAACGCCGCUAUAGACGACGCUGCAAAAUUUUGCGGCGUUUAUUUAAAAAACGCCGCUAAAGACCAUGGCCUUUAGCGGCGCUUUUCACGCAAACGCCGCUAAAGACCAUGACCUUUAGCGGCGCUUUUCCCGAAAACGCCGCUAAAAACCAUGACCUUUAGCAGCACUUUUUUUACAAACGCCACUACAGAACAAACCUUUAGCGGCGCUUUUCUCACAAACGCUGCUAAAGAAUAUAACCUUUAAAAAAUAUAUAUUUUUAUUAAAUAAUAUUUAUUUUCUAUAUUAUAUUUUAUUUUUGAAACUUUAAACUAUAUACUUUUAAGGAUAAAUAAAAAUAUUAAUUAAAUUAAAUUUUCUAUUAAAAUUUUAACUUUAAAACUAAAUAUAAAAAUUGAUGAAUUUAAAUUUAGAAUUUAAAUAUUAUGUUUAAAUAAAUGGGCAAUCUACCAGCAACAGAGAGAUAAUACAAUUUAUGAAAAUUUAUGUCGAUGAGAAUUUUUAAAUAAAUUUUAAGCACAUUUACAUUUAUGGAAAGAAAGAAAAACAAAAAGGCCGUAGUUUUCAAUUUUUGUUUGCCUUGCCUAUGAGGAUGACAAUGAAGUUCAGCUUCAUUCACAAUGAUACAACUUUCGUCACCUCUUGUUUUAUCCAAUGGUGGAACUGUUCCACUUUCUUUCCUACCAACAGCACUCCCUGAGCUAUCCAUGGUCCAGUUAUUUGAUUGUCCUGCAAAGUUCACGACACGAAUUAUACCAUACAGCUUAGCAGAAAUAGACAAAGAUAAAAUAAAUAAAAAAACUUGCAUAAAUUACUUGUGUAAUAAUUUCCCAAGAAUUUAUAUAUUUAAAGCUGACUCAAUGUAUACAUUUAAAGAUGAUAAUACAAUAGAUGUAAUAAUUGAACAAGAAACUAUCUUACUGUAAUAUUUUUGUUAUUUAUUUUACAUAAUAAAUAUUUAAAACUAUUUAAUAUGAAGCAAUUUUUGCAUUUUCACAAAACAAUUUAGAAACUGGAAAUAUUUUUUUCUGGCCAAGAUUUGUAAAGCUUAGUGCUAGUAGGCAGAUGCAGUAGCCUAUGCAUCGCAUUUUUAUUUUUGUUUUAUUUCACUGGAAUAAUCCAAUAGUUUAUGACUUAUUCCCUUCUAUCCACUGCAAUAUUGCAAUAAAGUACAUUAGAAACUAGGAUAUUGGUAAAAGGCACACAUAAGGUCUGGGGCUAGGCUUGGAGCUGAGGUGGGUACAAAAUGAAAGCAAUAAUUCCAUCCUCAAGAGUCCAAGCACGCAGAAAUGUAAUUUAUUUUAACAAAAUUAUAUGGAAAAAGGAAAUAAUGGCACGGUCUCAAAGUUUGAUCAUGCAACAUGAUAAAGUGUAUGAUUAGCAGCAGGUGGUGGGAAUAAAGGCAACAUGCUAUGGGGAUGUUUCAUUGCAAACUAAGGAAAAUAACUUAUGUUUCUUCUUGGUGCAGUAAAGAGAACACCUCAGAUUUGAUUGAAGCUAACCUCAAGAUGAUCAGUAGUUAUAAACAAAUAAAAGAAGGAUUUAGUCGGAGUCAUUUUCAAGACUUUAUCAACUUUAAAAAAUGCAAAGAAGUAAUGCUCAAAUUUCAAUACUGAACUAAUGAAACAAAUACAGUUCACAAAUUGAUGCAUCACAUAGAUUGAACUAUUGAAAGGACUUGAACAAAGAAUGUAACAACUAAGUAAACAUAGUGGAGAAUCACAUAAGAAAUUAAAAACCCAACAUGCGGUACAUAUAUCACAGCCACCAAUCAUAAAAAAAUUUAAAUAUACGGGACUCACCAAGAUGCAAUGCAACAAUCGCAAUUUAAAUUGGUAAAACCAGUACUAGGAGGCUCUAACAUAACAAAACCUGUAAAAUUGAAUACCUAAUCUUUAUAUGAGUUCCAGCAUACAAAUUCCAGUUCUACCAUGACCCAUUUAUAAAUAAAAGUUUCUCAAAUUAUAAAGAAAAGGUUGACAGCAACUAGUACAUAAAAGCUCCAAUUGCAAACAAAGAGAAAGCACCAGAUAAAUAACAAUGUCAUUAAGUGAAAAUGGAAAAAGAAAAACAUAUUUGAGGAUUUGAUACAAAAAGUAUUAUUUGGCAUGUUAAUAAAAAUUAAGUACCAAAUAUAAUUGUAAACAAUUUGAUUUUUUGUACGAAUAACAAAAAAAUCAGCACAUAACAAUAGUCAUAACUUUAUCCAUUGAAAGACAAACCAAAACCAAAACCAAAACCAAAAUCAAGUUCAUGCCAGCAUAUAAUUUGAAUCUCACCGCUGACCGUAAACUCUUUCUCCAUUGAGGCCUUAGUUCCAAAUCUGAGCGAGUGUGCAUAAUCCCACGAGGCAAAUCUUUUAAUUUCCCGGAAGGCAAUUCAUUAUCCUUAACACAAACAUAAUACACACCUUAGAUGACGACAAUGAAGAAACUGAAUCCACACAGAUUACCAAUGUGAGCACUUAAUGAAUUAAGAAAUACACAUUAAGUUAUACUAAAACAUAGUCCAAAGAAAAACCAAGGCGAAAAAGUUUCAAGUUCUUCAAGCUCAGGCGUCAACAGGAACUAUAAACUAACUUGGCAUGGUAUAUGUCAAUAUUAAGAUGCUUACCUCUACUGAGUCAAAAGGGUGCAAUUUGGUUUCCAUUUGACAAUAAGAGAAAGCAUUUAUAAAAGAUAAGAAUAUAGCUUUGGCAAGCCUCACAACACCUUAUUACAAUAUAACAAUGCCAGCAUGAAAUCCUAUUUAUCUCCUUACAAUAAAUCAAAACCAGUGGAAUCUAGAGAACAAUGAGAGUUGUUAUACCUGUGUCUCAUAGUAUCGAUAAUUUUUUCUAUAUUAAACGCAUAAAAACUGCAGGAAAUUGCAUUGAAGAAAACAAAAGAAAAGGCUACCUCAAAAGUUCUUUUAAAAGUAAAUGCAACAAUUAAUAAGUUCUCACUUAAUUUAUGCUGAAAGACCAUACAUGGUAAUAGCAAAAAAGACCUAAUUUUUCUUUUGUCUCAGCAAACUGACUUAAGAAAAUAGAAGUCGCAAAAUGAUAUGAUAUGCGUAAUGCCAUUAAACAUUGAAAUUUAAGAUGUUUAAGUAAGUUGAAGCAUGUGCAUAUGCAUGUAAUGGCCAAAUCUCAAAAGAAUUUAUACCCACACCUACAAAUUCUAGAAUGGAAUCCCGGUUAUAAAGAUUUGACAUUAACCAAUCCAGCACUUCCCCUUCAGUCAACCACUGGUAGAAGGAAAAAGGAAAAAGGCCUCUGAUUAUUUGAACAAUAAGAAAAAAAUGAGAAAGAUGUUGUCAAGAAGAGACAAAUUUAAGCUUUUGUUGGAUCUAUGUAUGUAGUUAUUACUAAUUUAAGCGCCUGAUUGGGAUUCAAAAAAUACAUGAAAUGAAAGAACAAUCACUGUAAAGAGCAAAGGUUCGAUUUUUAGAUUAAAGUAGAAAGAUGAAAUCCAAAAGCAAUGAAAGCUAACACCCUUUAUAAACUUGAAGUUCCCGGAAUUGUUCAAUUCAAAUAAAAUUUGGAAAUGCUUGAACUUGUACUGAGAGACUCUCUAUUAGUACAAUUAUUAAAACAAAAAGGAAAGAUUCAAUAAAGAAAAUAAAGAAUGAACAAGGAAUAUGAAUGGGCAGAAAUAAAAGUCUCUUAAAAACCAGAUCUUGAUCGAACCACCAUUGCCAGAAAAUAAAAAUAAAAAAACGAAAACCAGAAACAUAAAAUGAGGGACCUUGAAGAUUAAAAGGAGGCGAAUUGAUUGAAAAGAGAUGAAACUAGACAGGGAGUAAAGCUCUUCUUUUGCCUUCGGGUAAAUUCGGGUCGUCUGAUUCAACAACAACCAAAAAUUGAAUGAAUGAACCAGCAAAAACUAACAGAGAGAAAAGGUCAUUUAAAAGAAAAACCGAAACAAGAGGACGCAACGCCACGUCUUAAAGGUACAUGUGGAAGAACAAAAGGAAAGAGGUUUUGGGGGGGGGGGAAUCUUUGCUUUUGCUUUUGCAUGGGGAAAGGGUUUUUGGUCUCUGCUAUGGGGUUUAUAUGAGUUGUCUAGCUGCCGCUCGUCGACGUCUCCCCCUGCGACAGCUCCCAAACACAACACCUUCCCAUUUUUUUGAAUACUCAAUUUCACCAUCUCUCCCCCUCACAUGGAUUUUUCCUUUCUUUCUUUAAAAUUACAACUAAAAAUGCCAAUCGAACCUACCUGAAGCAAUUAAGGAAUGAAACAAAACCACUGUUAGAGAGUAAAAACUGUAAGCCAGUAAGUUCAGCCCAAGUUUUUAAUGUCUCUGCUAAAUCUCGGUUUUCGCUAAUAAUCUCAAGGAGAUAGGAUGCCGAAUGCAAUUCCAGGCUACCGAAUGCAUCUUUGAGAAAGGAUAUCAAAAUAUUCUUCAAUUAGGAGAGAAACAGUAAAAAGAAUCCAAAAGAUAAAAAUCUUACUUUCUUUUUGUGACGGUAUAACGGUAUAACAGUAGAUCCUAACGGCGGCGCAGAUGAUUGAGGCGGCGUCUGUAAUAUCCCGAAUUAGGGCCUAAUCAGAAUAGUAGUUUCGUGACCACAAAUCCGAGAUAGAAAUAAUUAUUUUAUAAUUAUUUUGAGGUUUAUGAUAUGAAUGCAUAAUUGUGUGAAGAUUUCGUGAAGAAAUUUUGGGCAUAACGAGUUUAAUUUAAAGUUAGGGACUAAAUUGAAUAAGUUGCAAAAUUUACAUUCUAGAAGUUUUUAGUAUGAAAUUACUUUUAAAAUAUUAAUUAGGAGGUCUUAAAUAGAAAUUUUACCAAUUUUAAGUUCAUGGACAAAAUUAGGACGUGGAAGGAAUUUUUGGAAAGUUUAGUAGUAAGGGUAUUUUGGUCAUUUAGUUAUUAAGAUGAAUUAAAAACAAAAUUAAAAGCCAAUUUUUGUCCAUCUUCUUCAUUAGGCCGAAAUUUCAAGGGUUCUCCAUAGCUAGGGUUUGUUUCAAGCUUCCAAGCUCCAUAGUAAGUGAUUCCAAGCCCCGUUUUUAAUGAUUUUUACGUUUUUGAGAUCCCGGUAACUCGAUAAAGCUUAUGUUAGCAAUAAUUUAACCUAGGGUUUAUAUUUGGAAAAAUACCCAUAGGUGAAAUUUGUGUAUUUUGAUGUUUUAUGAUAGAAUAUGAAGUUUUAAAUUAUGUUAGACAACUUGUACUACUCGAUUUUAAGCAAAAACGAGUAAAAGGGCUUAAUCGGUAAAAAUACCUAAUAGUCACAAGUACAUGUUAGAGUGAGAAUUUGAUGUUGCCAUAGAAGAGAAAAAUGAUCAGCAUGUUGUAAAACAUAAGAAUAAGGAAUAAAGUUUAAUCCCGAGCCUAGGGGCAAAAAUGUAAAUAUGCAAAAGUUUAGGGGUAAAAUUGUAAUUUUGCCAAAAUUUGAGUUAAGGAUUAAUUUGAUAAUGUGAGUAUUAAAUAAGCUAAAUGUGUUAUUUUAGAUCAAGAAAGACGUGGAAUCGACCUCAAUCGAGGAAAAGAAAAGAUUAUGGACUAGAUUGCAAAAUCCUUGUAUUUUGGUACCAAGGUAAGUUCAUGUGUAAAUAAUGUAGCAUAAUGGUUAUUUUUAAGUUAUUGAUGUUAAUUAUAUGUUAUGCUGAAUUUUAUUAUGAAAUGUAUGCUUUGUGGUUAAUUUCAAAUAAUAUGUAAAUUAUGUGAACUACUUGUUAAAUAUAAUUGUUACCGAGUAUUGAUUUCGGCAUUCUACGGAAGACGGCAAGGAUAAGUGUUCGAGGAAAAAGCCCGUUUGAACCUUAGGAAUAGAUUAGGAUACAAGUGACAUGUCACUAGGAUGGUUGAGCAUCCGAACUCGUUGAGUUGAGUCCGAGUUCACUUAUGGAUGCGAAUGUCCGAACUCGUUGAGUUGAGUCCGAGUUCGUGAGAUGUAACUAGGCAUCCGAGCUCGUUGAGUUGAGACCGAGUUCGCUUAUGGGCGGGUUACAUGAUUGCUUGAUUGCAUAUAUGGCACUUAUGUGCAAGUUAUCCAUGUAUCCGAAUUAUAUUCCGAUGUGUUCAACGGGUAAAACUCUACUCAAAUGGAGGAAUAUUUGAGAUGUAAAGAGACGUAUUGGUAAGUGAUGUGAAAUGGAUAUUUUGAACAGGUAUGUAUUUAACCCUCGGGUUGAGUAUUGAUACAACCACGAUAAGGUAAUAAGAUGAUGAAAAAUUAUUAGAAAUGUGACAUGUGUUUUAGUGAUGCAUGCUAAUGUUGAUUGGUAUGACUGUUUGUUAUGUUACUUAUUAUUUGCAUAUGAACUUACUAAGCAUUUAUGCUUACUCCCUCCUUCUUACUCAUUGUAGUUUUGGCCAAGCCAGCUCAGGAGUCGGGAUAGGUUGAAGGCUCAGUCACACUAUCCGGAAGACUUUUGGUAAAGGCUUGUAAAUUUAAGUAUGGCAUGUAUAGCAAUAUAUCUAUUUUGUGUAAAUGAUCUUAUGGUAUGGUAAUGGAAUGGUUGAGAAAAUGUUUGAUAAUGAUAAAUUAUGAAAAUGGUUAGUUUAGAUUAUGUUUGAUGAUAAGGAAAAUUAAUAAGAUACUUAGUGUAUAAAAACUCAUCAAAAGGGAUGAAAUUUGCCAUAAAUAGGAUACUACAGCAACACUGACGCGAGUUUGAAAAUUUACUAAAAAUCAUAGAAAUUGAAUUUGGUGAUGGAAUACAUAUAAAAUUGAAGCUUAUUAUGUCUAGUUUCACAUGAAAUAAAUUAAACAAGAAAAGGAAUUAUAUGUUAUAAGAUAUUAGAAUUUUAGUGAAACAGGGUCAUAGCAGUUUCUGUAUCCCCUGUUCCAACUUUAUAAAUUCACCAUAAAUUGUAAAGAUAUAAUUAGGUAGUGUAUUUUAUAUUCUCAGAAUCCUUAUUGAGUCUAGUUUCAGGAUAAAUAAACCUCAUAUUCAUAUGAUUUUUUUACAAAGAGAAAUGUGGUUUGUAGUAAACAGAGGUCAGACCAGUCAAGUCCUGAAACAGGGGUAACUUUAACUAAUAAACGGUACUAAAUGGCCCAACCAAAAAUUCUAGAAAACAAUUAGUAGAUAGGUAUAUGAGUCUAGAUUCAGGGAAAUUUUACAGAUCUUGAUUUCGAGUUUCGUAACUCGAGAUAUGAUUUUUCUUGUGACUGUGAUGCAAGUAGCUUAAAAGCUGCGAAUGUAGAAAUAAAUAAUCCAAAGUUCUAAAUAUGUUAAAUUAAGCUUAGUAACACCUCAUACUCGACUCCGACGACGGUCUCGGGCGUGGGGGCAUUACAGUGUCAAUGCUACUGCUGCUUCUUCAGCCAUUAAUUUUGGGGAGGGGGGAGGGAACCGAUUUUGGGAAAAAGAAAGGAGGGAAAAAAAAGAGAUUUUGGGAUUUCGGGGGGGGGGGGGGGAAGGGAGAACCGAUUUAGGGAAAAAGUUUUAAGGCAUUUUGGGUAAUAAAACGGCGCCGUUUUGUGUAAGAUUUUUUGCGGCGUUUUUAUAAAAAAUGCCGCUAUUGCUUAUCUUUUGUGGCGUUUUUUUAUAAAAACGCCGCAAAAAGUCAUUUUCCUUUAUACAAAAUGGUGCCGGUUUGCUCUGCUAAAAAUCUAUUAUUUUGUUUUAAUAUAUAUAAACUUUAUCAUUAUCUCUUAAAUAAUUUAAACUAUAUUGAUAAUUUUAAUAUAUUAAAACAAAUAUUAUCUUUUUUAUAAUUAUAUAAGAAAUUAAUUAAUAUAUAAAUUAAAAAAUCAGUCAUAGACCCAAAAAUAACUUUAAAAUUAUUUUAAUUAAUAGUAUUUUAUUUUUUUCAUUUUUGACAUGUGUUUUUCUAUAUUUUUACUUUUAAAUUUUUUUUCAAUAAAAUCCAAAUGUUGCUUCAAUUUUCCAACAGUAAACCCUAAAUCUAAACCCCAAACUAUAAACCUAUAUCCUAAACCCUAAAUAUAUAUUACAAGGGAUAAAAGUAAUUAAAAAAGAAUCUUAUUACUUACCUAAACCCAAAAAUAAUUUGAUUUUUUGUUAUCUUAUCAAAAAUCCUAACUCUUAAACCUUAAUAGCCUAACCCCUAAAACCAUGAACAGUACUACAAUCCUAACUGUAAAACAAAAAACCACAAACUCUAAACCAAAAACAAUAAACAUUAUAUCAUAAACCCUAAACCCUUAAACCAUGGACAUUAAACCUUAAAUCUUAAAUCUUAAAUCAUAAAUUCUAAACCCCAAAAUAAUAAUCAUUAUAUCAUAACCCUUAUCCCCUAAACUCUAAACCAUAAAACAUAAACCAUAAACCCUUAACCCCAACCCUUAAACCAUAAUUAGAUAUUUAAUUAUAUGUAUACACCUAAAUUUUGAUAGAGAUACAUAUCAGAAUUAUAUAUGAAUUUCGAUUUAAUGUGUAAUUGUAGAUGUGAAAUUCUAAUUGUGGUUUAAAUGUAUAAUUGAAACUUUAAUUUUGAUUUAAUCAUACACAUUUUAAAAAAUAAAUACAUCAAUAUAUUUUUAUAUUGAAUAAAUAUAAAUAUUUAUGUAUGCAAUAUAUAAAUAUAAAAUGAUGUUAUAUCAAUAAUUGUGUUCAUAAUUUAUGCUUUUACGAUUUAACUUAUUGCACACUAAACCAUUGUUCAUGUAUACUUUUGGGAUUUAACCCAUUUUGAUAUAUAUAUUUUUUAAAAUAAUAAUUUAUAUUUACCUUAUUUAGAUUUAUAUUAUAAAAAAAUCCAAGAUACACAAGUUAAGUAGUUUACCAUAUUUACCUCUAAAUUCCAAACCCCAAACCCCAAAUCCUAAACUCUAGGCCCUAAACACUAAACCAUAACCCAUAAACUAAAUUACUUUUUUGCGGCGUUUUUCCAAAAGCGCCGCUAAAACCACGAUCUAUAGCGGCGUUUUUCCAAAAGCGCAGCUAAAACCUCGAUCUAUAGCGGCGUUUUUCCAAAAGCGCCGCUAAAACCUCGACCUAUAGCAGCGUUUUUCCAAAAGCGCCGCUAUUGUUCAGUUUUUAGCGGCGUUUGGACCAAAAACGCCUCUAUUGCUCAGUUUUUAGCGGCGUUUUAUUGCAAACGCCAUUAAUGUAUAAUAUUUGCUGCGUUUUUUGUUCAAACGCCACUAAAAACGCCACUAAAGCCAUAUUUUCCUGUAGUGGUGGUGGAAAAGAAAAUAAAAUUAUGGAAAAAGAAAUUUUAUUAAAAGAAAAAAAUAUGGAAAGAACAAAAGACUUUUAGGGGGAGAGUGUUUACAGAAAAGAUGAACCCCAAAUAGAGUCACUUCACCCCCUAUUUAUAGUGCUAGGGAGAUAGUCUAAUUGAACUUAAAUUCUAAAAAGAUAAAUACAUUUAAUUAAAGAUAAAUAAAGAUAAUUAAAAUAAAAUCCUAAAAUUAAAUAAUCCUAAUAUUUAUCUUAAUAUUAAUUAUCCUAAUAUAAAUAAAAUAAAAUAAAAUAAAAUAAAAUAGAGUCUUCCAAAAUAAAAUCUCUUCUAUUUGCUUUUAAGUCCUUGUGCCUUUCAUGUUUGCACUUUUGGCACCAUAUUUGUCCCACGUUGCAUAUUGACUCAUUUAAUCUCCAAAUUGAUGCUUUUUCUCUUGAAUUUACUUUUCGCCUCCAAUUUAGUCUCUAAAAGAUAAAAAGACAUAAAUAGCUCAAAUUAGUAGGCUCAAGCUCAAAAUAAACACAUGAUUAAUAUAUAAAAACACGUCAUUUUAGAGUAUUAUCAGCGUAUAACAAAACUCAUUUCAUGGGCAUAAUACAUUAAUUUCAAUCUAUGUUAAAUGAACUUUUUCCGUACGUAAUAUUGUAUAUUAAAUAAAUAUCUAAAUACGAAAUAUAAUGAAAGCUAACAUAACUUAGAGUAUUCCUGCCUUGUAAUCAUAAGCUCCAUUAGGAGAAAGUCAUGAACAAGUUGCUUAACAUAGGAGUUUGGCUGAUUGUGCUGAACUGCUUUAAAAUAUAUGCCUUAAAUUUCAUUGUUGUGAUUACCUUAAAAUAUGUAAGGUCAGAAGUAUAUGUUACUCAAACGCCCCCAUGCAAAUCCAAAUUAGAACAGUCAUUAUGGUGAUGAAAUCAUAAUUACAUUAAGCAUAUUUUCAUUUUGUUCAAAUUGAUAAAGAAGUAUAAAUUACUCAAAUAAACAGGCAAAUCUUGCGUUUCCUUUGUUUUCAUCAUUGCUAUAAUCAGAUAAUCUUUCCUUUUCUCUUUCUCUCUGCAUCUCUCAUGGGUUAGCGUAUGCAGUUUCUAACCUUUUUUUAAACUCUUUCGUAUCUUUAUUUUCUACACCAUUACUUUUAGCCUUUUAAUUUAUGAAAAUCAAUAACCAGGCCCUCCCACAGAUAUAUCUUACCUCCCACGCCAAACAUCACUUAACCGGCCCUUCGUCCUUCCCAAGGGAAUAUAAUAAAGCCGUACCUUUCCCUUUGCUCUUUUAGCUCAAAAAUUACAUCAUUCUCUAACUAAUCCCCCCAUUGCAUUAGCCAUGAGGCUCAAAACUAACUCCAUUUGGCUCUUUGCCUUUCUCUUUGCACUCUUUUCCAUCCUAAUCUCUCUGUAUACACUCCCUCCUUCUUCCCAAGCAACCAUCUCCAUGAAAUUUGAAACUUCCUUCCUCAAGAAAGUUGUGAGCCAAAGCGGUGAAUUCAUAUCUUUGCUAACGAGGAUGGUGUCUGGACAUCAUCAUCAUCGUCGUCAUCGACGUCGUCACCAUCAUCACCAUCAUAGGAGGGGGCGUGAGCACAAAUGUGAUCAUAUCAAAUGGAGGUCGAGCUUGAGCACUAGCAACCUUAUUUAUCAAUACAAAGUAUCACUUGUAUUAACAGUUGACUUAGAGGGUUGCGGCAACUUCAGCAAUGCGCAGAAGGCAAUCGAUGCUGUUCCUGAUUCCAGCCCCUCCAAGACCCUGAUCAUUAUUUAUUCUGGUACAUACAGGUCAUUAUUGAAAAACGUUUCUUCCCUGUGUGUAUAUAUAUUUGCACAUGUAUAUGUACCAUGAACAGCUAAUAUCAUUGAUGAUCCACUAUGAUUCAAUCUUGUGCAAUAUGCAUGGAACUUUGAAUCUAAGUUACAAACAUGGGUGACCUGUGAUUCAGGGAGAAGGUAGUGGUCCAUGCAAGCAAAUCCAACUUGAUAAUUCAAGGUGAGGGUUUUCUCAACACAGUUAUAGAAUGGAAUGACACUGCAAAUUCCACUGGAGGAACAGUGUACAGCUCUUCGGUUGCCAUCUUUGCUUCUAACUUCACAGCCUAUAACAUCAGCUUUAAGGUAAAUCAUCACACUUAAUUCCUGAAAUUAACAUUGCGUGUGUAGUAUAGCCUACAAAUUUAGCUUCAAUCUCACUGUCUUUAACUUCUAUCAUUAUAUUUUCAUAGUUGUUGCAAUUUAGAGGUACUGAAAGGUGGAUUUGCUCCAUUUGUCUGUCCAAUUUUCUCAAAAUGCAACGUGGAGAAUGACUGUGAGCCUAAUUACCUCAUCUCUCGAAUCUGAUUGGACGCUCAAGGAAGACAUAUUAUGAUGUACUAGAUAUUGUCUUACGUGUUGCUUAUUUUACACAUUUAAAAUUUACCAUCGAUAGAAAAAAUCACUAAAAUUAAAAAAGAGAAAGCCCAAAUAUUAAUUUAAAUUUUGUGAGAUAAAUUAACCUUUCAGCGGAUAAUACAUUUAAGAAUAUUUUGGCUAUUUUUCUUAUUCCAGGAUAUAGCUAUCCGAGGGUCGGCUAUAUGCUCGACUUGGACUGUGAAGUUUAUGGCAUUGGACGUGACUUUUGUAAAUUUGGACCAUCUAGACCUGAAUUAUUAUUAUUUUAAUUAUGAAAUAUCUACAUAAAAAUGGUUUUUAUUUUUUUAACACUAAUCCGAGCCAUUUAACCCAAUCCGUAAAAGGAUUGCAAAAAUUUAGGUUGGGAUCCAGCCCAAUAAGUAAACUAGUCUAGUCUUGCAUAGAAGACUGUCCUAGAAUUUGAAUGGAUGCUUGUUCUUUAAAAUUAGAGUUGAAAUGGUUCAGAGGAAUAUUAAAAACAUGGUAAUGAUUUUGCGUUACUCUUGUUGAUUAAUGGAUCGGUCUAUUGAUUGCCAAUUUUUCUGGGAAAGAAUACAGCUCCAGAGCCAAUCCCUGGUGAAACUGGAAAGCAGGCAGUGGCGCUUAGAAUAGCGGGGGAUCAAGCUGCUUUCUACAAUUGUGGAUUUUAUGGAGCCCAAGACACACUUCUGGAUGAUCGUGGCAGACAUUAUUUCAAAGGUUGUUUCAUAGAAGGUUCUAUUGAUUUCAUUUUUGGAAAUGCUAGAUCACUCUAUCAGGUACCAACAAUUUUCGGACGUCUUACACAUGCUGUUUUGUCACUGAACCAGACAAUCGGAUUUAGAUUAUACAUUUGCACUAAUUGUUGACAGGGUUGCGUUAUCCACUCAAUUGCUAAAGAAGGGACGAGUGGAGUUAGCGGAUCCGUUACAGCACAUGCAAGGCAAUCGUUGAAUGAGCAAACAGGGUUUUCAUUCGUAAAUUGCAUCGUCCGGGGAACCGGGAGCGUCUGGCUUGGUAGAGCUUGGGGAGCGUAUGCCACCGUCGUCUUCUCCCGAAGUUAUAUGUCGGAUGUUGUGGCACCGGUCGGAUGGAACGACUGGCGAGACCCUUCUAGAGACCAGUCUGUCAUUUUCAUUCAUAUAUUAAAAACCAUAUUUAUAUGGCAAUUAUUUUAUUAUAAUAAAAAAAUGAACUUUUUAUUGUUUCCAGGACUGUUUUUUUUGGAGAAUAUGAGUGCUUGGGGCCUGGAGCAAACUACACAUUCAGAGCUUCUUAUGGGAAGCAGCUAAUGGAAUAUGAAGCAGCUCACUACAUGAACAUAUCAUAUAUUGAUGGAGAUCAAUGGCUUCAAGACUAGGCUUUCAUCUUCAUGCUAUAUAUAUUAUAUCCUAUAUUCAAACCCUCCUAUAGUUUAUGUAGAAAAUUUCGUUUCUGAUGGAAAUUAUAAGUAUAUAUGAAAUUGUUAUGUUAUUCGCUAUUAUUUACUCCCUACUUGGUUACCUGAUUGUGUCUUAACCCCUUUAUGGAAUCACAUGAUGUAAGUUCGCAUCAUCAUGUAGACGAACUCAUAUUUAAAAAACACGUUUAAUCUUAAAAUAGGGUACGUGUUGGCAUGCAUAGAGACUUACCUACGACAUCACAUUCAUGAAUAGUAAUUAUAUCAUAUAAAUACACAAUUUAACCCUUUUGAAGAACACUCUAAAACACUUAACAAGAAUAAAGUGGAACAGCCAUUCUUUUAGCAAGUGAUCUGUUUUUAUGACGUCUCAUCAGAAAUCCAUUUUUUUCAACAUCAGAAUCACUUUCAAUUAGGCACAUAUUAUAUUACAAGCACUCGUUCUUAGAAUUAAAUUUUAAGAAUCCUCCUCCCCCAACUAAUUUAUUUAAUUAAACUAUAUAUUAUAUUUUAAAAAAUACCUAUUUUAUUUGUCGAAAAAGAUUUUAAUUUGUUGGAUGUUCCAAUUAAAUAUCCCAACCAAUAUUGAAAUAGAAGUUGGACCACGAUAGGUUAACAAACAAAUUAUAAAAGGAAUAAGGCAAGGAGGGAAAUCAACAAAUGCUAUUUGUUAAUGUAGUUUGGAUUCAUAAAUUUUAUUUUGUAAAAUUUCAAUAAAUUUAAAACUCUAUUAGUUAAAAACUCAAUCUGCUCUUACACAAUGAAUAAUUACAGCUCAAUAAAGUACCCCAAUGUCACAAUGACUUAUCCCAAACAAGCUCACCUAUAAUAAAGAUUACUCUCCAAUAAAAUGCCUAAUAAAAAGUAUAAGGAUACAACGCGAAGAAAGCACAAUACUUCACUAAAAAACACUCCAAAGACACUCACAACAUAUGCGACAAUACAACCUAUUUAUAGGUAAUAUUAGCAAUUUCUUCAAAUAAUAAAUCAAAUUUUAAAUUAAAAAAUUAUCCACACAAAAAAAUUCUGUUUUUAAAUUAAAAAAAUAAAGCAUUCAUAUCCAAACAAAUUCAAAUGAGAUUAGUCUCCAAGUAAAAUAAAGUGAAAGGAUGAAGGUAAUGUUUGCCUUGCAUCAAACUCUUCUCCUUCCUUUGCCAUUUGGAAGUUAAACUCUCGGUAAUAGUAAGAUUAAUCAAAGCAAAAAUCAGCCAUCCAAAAUUAUACAAGCUUAUUGCAUAGCUAUACUAACUUGUUGUCCCAAGUGUUGUUCAAACAAUGAGGGUAACAAGAUUACAACAGAUAAUUAAAGUCCCAACAAUAUCCCUCUUUGACAUUUUGACAAAAUAUGUCAGCAACUGAUCAAUACACGUGUUAUCAACUUUCCACAAUUCUCCCCCUAUCACAUAGCAUCAUGCCAAAAAACUCCCUCUUUUGACAUGCAUCAAAUCAAAUCAUGAGUUCAAAAAUAACUUAAGAAAAUGCAUUAUCAAUUAACCAUCAAAUGAAAACUCCCCGUAGAAAAAUGCAUCAUCAAAUAUCAUGGUCAAACAUCAAUUAGUAAACCAAACAUAUCUUAAAUCGCAAAAGAUUUAUAAAUCAUUAUCAAUUAGCCAUCAAAUCAAAACUCCCCAUAGAAAAAUACAUCACUAAAUAUCAUGCUUAAAUAUUAUCUUAAAUCUCAAAGGAUUUAUAAAGCAUUAUCAAUCCGCCAUUAAGAUAUCAAGUUUGAAACAACUUCAAACAAAGUAGUACUAAUCGUAAAAAUAACAAACCAUUAGCAACAAAAAGGUGCAAAAGCAAAUAGAACAUAAGCAAUCUUUCAAAACCAAAUCUGCAAUGUAAAAUGUAAUAGCGAGCAUUCACCAUCUCAUCUAAUGCAAUGUAAAAUGUAAUAGCGAGCAUUCACCAUCUCAUCUAACUUCAAACAUUUGUUAUUACUUCUCCUUCCCUUCCAAGGUUGUCUUCUUCAAAUCGUAAAUCAAUUAAACAAACUUUACCUUGAUAACAAAUUAAAAACUUGAUAGUUACUAAAUUAACUAUAAAUACAACAAAAAGUCAAGUGCAUCUAUCAAACAAUAGUAUAGUUAUGGUGAGUAGAAAAUAUUGUAUUCACGAAGACUAAAAAUAUUAGUAAUUACCGUUUUUCUAUUAUUUACCCAACAAUUUGGAGUGAUGUGUUUUAAUCUAAAAUUACUAAACUAAUUAUACCAAGAACGCAUCAGAGAAUGAAUUAAGAAAAUAAUUGAAUAUUAACCAAUGAGAUAGACAAUACCCAGGAAAGAAUCCCCUUAGACUUCACUUAUUAUUAUGAAUCUGAAUUAAAUAAUUUAUUCACUUGUGUCUUGAUCCGUAAAAAUCCCUAAAUUAUGUUAAUAUCUUUUUCAGGAGUAAGAACAACUGAAUCUAGGUUGAUUAAUUAAAAUCUCUUUCUAAUAAAAAUUCCUAUCGUCGCAUUAACUCGAUCUAUGGAUUCCCCUAUUAGAUUUGACUCUAAUCUGGUAAAUUUAUGUCGUCCUAUUUCUAAGAUUGCAUGUAACUCCACUCAAUUAUGCUAGAUCUACUCUCAAACAAAGACUUUUCCUCCACUGAAAUAAAUAUGAAUUAAUAUCCCAGAAAUAUUAAAACAAGAAAUGAUGAGCAUACAUAAUUGAGAAUAAGAAUCAAGUAUUUAUAGCAUAAAAUAGAAAUUAAAUAAAAGGAUUUAUCAUAUGUUUCAUCCUCCCGUAUCUAGGGAAUUAGUUCAUAAUCUUGAAUGAAAAUAUUUCAAAGUCAGAAUAACCACAAAAUAUAAAGAAACUCAAUAAAACUUCGAAAGAAAUUAAAAAGAGAUCUUCGAUUUUAAUGGAGAUUCGCUUUUGAGUUUAUUCCGAUGGUGUUCUUCGAGUGUUUUCUUCGAUCUUCUCUGAUUGCUCCUUUAUAUCUUCUUCUAAUUGGUAUUUAUAGACAUUAGAAUGCUCAAAAGUCUAAAAAUCGAGUUUUUCCGCGUAUUUGGGAAGCAGGGUGAAAUCGACACCGGCUGGCAUAUGGGCAUGUGUCCAACUUGUGUGGAAAUGCCCAGGCCGGGUGGCUCCUGAAAAUAGCUCUAUUCGUCUGAUUUUAGCUUGUUUUUCGCUUCUUUUGCUCCCAAAUGCUAUUUUAAGUAUAGAAACACGAAUGUGAAGGAUUAAGAGCAUCAAAUUCACUAAUUUACAUAAUUAAUCAUCAAAAAACACAUUAAAAUGAGAUUAAAAUAUGUUAUUUUUAUAGCUUAUCAAUAACAAAUCUCCAAAUUUUAACAAGCCCUUAACAGAUCUAAAACUUGUGCAUUUUGAAUAGUUGUAGCAGGUUGAGACGAGACUGUCCCACCUUCUACUAUAACAGGGUUUCAGCCAUCGUUGCAUAUUUGAAUAUUAGAUAACCACAAACAUGACAUUUGAGACUCUGUCAAGAUAAUUUACUCAUGUAAUUAUAAUAGCUAACUUUUGCGUUUUUUUUAAAGAUUAUUAGCCUUUCUUUUUAAAUUGUAACAACUUUAUUUAUAUUAUCGAUUUUUUUAGAUUAUUAACAGUUUUUAAUUUUGAAAUUUAUAUGGUAUAUGUUAUUUAGAUUAUAUUGACUAUUUUUUUAAUUAGUGUUCAAAAAAUAACAAUCUUAUCUUAAUCUAGAGAUUGAUGUAUCAAAUUCUUUUUAACUUUUUUCCUUUGUUAAAAUUAGUAUUCAAAUGCAAAAGUCAGCAUAUGAGAUAAGUGAUAUUUGGAAUAUUAGUGUUUUAUAAUUUUUAAUUUUAAUUUAAUUUUUUCUUAUUGUUAUAUAUGCAAAUUUCCAUUCCUUUUCAUAGUUUACCCAAAUAAGAAAUUGCUUUAUUAAUUUUAAUUAUUCAAAUAAAAAAUAAAUAUAUUAUUUCUUUUCUUUAAUUUUCCCUUCCUUUCCUUUCUUUUAUUCUCCUUUAAUAAUAUUUAUCAAACAUAGGGUUAAGUCAUGAUCUUCCUUUGAGUCUAUCUCUUGAAAGAGUCUUCAUAAAGCCUUGAUCCUAGACUUUAAUUACAACACAUUUUGCUAUUGAUUUCCAAGAAUAAAAAUGAUUACAAUUAAAAGUCCAAACUGCAACUAAAGAUUAAGCUGUGGCAUAUUAUUUAUGACGGCAUGUAUCAGGCUAGGCGUUUUGUACAUCAUUCUUCUUUUAUGAAAUAAAAUUUGCCUUUAGAAAAAAAUAAUAAUAAUAAUUCAAUCAAAUAUUGGCUGUGCUAUAGUUGAUUGACUUGCUCCAAAAUGUCUUGCACCAAGAGUGACAGGUUGAGAUGGGAUGAUCCUCCAUUUUCCACUGCUUUUAUCGCCAUUUCCGCAAGUUCUCGAGCUCUCGUUCUCCUCUUUUCGCCUUCUUCUCCGCCAUUCAUCAACAUAUUUAUGGCUUUCUCAAUCUGUUCUUUCCUAACCAGCACCCCAAGUUUCUCUUCUUCACCCCAUCUAACAGGGAUCUCAACCCCAACCCCAACACCUAUUUUUAGAAUUUCAACAAUCAGUUUCUCGUUAAAGAACUGUUCGGAGAAUUGUGGCCAUGUUAUCAUUGGCACCCCCGAGCAUACGGCUUCUAAAGUUGAAUUCCAACCGCAGUGAGUUAAGAACCCUCUUAUUGCAGGGUGGGACAAAAUAAGAACUUGGGGAGCCCAACCCUUGAUUAUAAGUCCUCUCCCUUUGAUUUUCUCCUCAAAGUUAUGUUCUGAAAACCACUUCUCCAACUCAUCAUUAGCUCGCUGAUUUCCUGUUUUGACUACCCAAACGAACGGUUGUUGUGAUGCUUCUAGACCCAACCCCAGCUCUAUCAAUUGUGCUGAAACGAGACGGCAUAGACUGCCUAAACAAGCGUAAAUAACUGACCUUGUUUUCAUAGAGUCGAGCCAUUUCAAGCAUUUGUUGUCAUUGAUUGAUGCUUUGUUGCCUCGUUCAAACUUGUCCAAGUAUAUUCUGUUGCAUAAAGAAACUGGUCCAAUGGCCCAAACCUUUUUCUUUAUUGCCUUCUGGUACUCGUUGACACAUCCAUGCUCGAGUUCAUUGAAGCUGUUUAUCACAACACCAUAAGCAUUCAUUUCAGCCUCUUGCAUCUUGUUGCGAGUAUCGUCCAACUCAGGCAAGCUAACAAAGGUACCGGGAAGCUGAGCCCUUGUUAUCUCCACUUUUUGUGGCAAUCCUGGAACCCGAAAGCGCUCCGAAUCCGAGGCAACGAAAAGAUGAGCCUUGUGGAGCUUCACAUUGUGAGAGCUCAACAAUGAAAAGCAGCCCAUCCCAUGAAAAACAAUCCUGGGAAUGUUAAACUUCUGAGCGGUUUCUGAGGUCCAGGAAAGACACUUGUCUGAUAUUAUGCAGCUUGGUUGCGGCUUUUGCUGUUCCAGGAAUUGUUCCAAUGGUUCUCGCCACAAAUCAAGUGCAUUGUAGAACUUUUUCAAUAGGUCCCUGGAACAUAAAGUGUCGAGAUUCUCGCAUCCAAUUGGAAGUCCCACUUCUUGGCAUGGAAAUGGAAUUUUCACUAGCCGAAUCCGGAGCCCUGACUCAGAAGCUCGUUCAAUGACUGUGUCGAAUCUCGACGCAUUUCGGGGAGUAGUGAUCAAGCUUACGAUCACCCCUCGAUCUGCAAGAAGCCGAGCCAUGUCAACCAUCGGAAUCAUAUGACCUUGUGCCAUCAGCGGGAUUAACACAAAGUGUAGCUGCUUGGCCGUCACGGAAGCCAUAUAGUCUUCAGAAAUAUUGGAAACAAACAACGGAUGCCAAGGAUGGAUCGAUUAGGUCUAAUAAAAAGCAUAAACGUAUUUGCAGGAGGAUUGGCACCAAUUGCAAGACUUAUAAGGUAAGCCCGACUUUGAAUUAUUCCGAAAAAGAAAACAGCACAUUUUUUAAUAUGUCAAAAAAAACAUCUACCUUCUUAUAAUUUUCUUAUCUAAUAAAAUUAAUUAAAAUUGACUUGGAUUUUCAAUUGAUUUAAAAAGUCUAUACCCAACCUUGUGCAGCACAUGAUUUUAAUUACCUAACUCCCACGGUAACAUAUGAUUUUAAGCCAUAAUCAUGGUACCCAGUAUUGGUUGGUUGGGUUAUUUAGGGUCGAUAUUUCUUUUAUCUAGAUGAGUUUUGAUGUUGACAGGAUUUCCAGAAAUCACACAAUGUUCAAACAAUUACAAUCAGUGGUGACAAGUUUUCACCGUUGUUUCCAUUGAUUUACUUUUAUUUUUUUUAUUAAUUUUCUUCAACAAACCUUUUACUCGUUCAGGGCUUUCUUAUAUUAAUUGUAUUGUUAGAAUUUCAAAAAAUUAUCGUUAUUACAGCAAAAUGUUUUAAACGAUCCUGUCUAGGGGAUCCAAAUUUUAUCUUUAAAAAAAUAGAUCUCACAUAUAAAUCAAUAUUUAAGCUUGACAUAUAUAAACUUUUUUCUAUUUUUACUUUAAAAAUAUUGCUAUAGUAGCUUUUUCCUAUCCAAAAAGAUUCGUCGAAUUUAAAGAAGACAAUAAAAAUGUUCUUGAGAUUUUCGGUAAAGUCAAAGAGAAAAUAGAAAAUGAAAUCACGGAGGAAAUAAUAGGGCAGGACAAUAGUUAUUUUGUUGAGUCUAUACACAUGAAUUUUAUAUUUACUCCAAAUAACUUUUGAGUUUCAUGAAAAAUUGAGAGUACUAGAAUUUCUUCUACAGAUUUUUUACUUUUAUUGUAUUGGAAAUAUAAGUGAGUUUAAGAAUGAUUGGUUAAAUAUUUGAAGGGGAAUCAACACUCUAAAAUUGUAUUGGCUUUCAAUUUGUGCCUAAUGUUAGAUUUUACUAAGUCAAGCCAUUAUUCGAACUUUUCGAUGAUAAAAUAACAUUUAAGAAUGUAAAAAUAAAAAAAAUACAGAGACGCAACUUCAUAGUUAACUAAUAUUUUUAUUUAUUUAUUUUUCAUUGCAUUGCAUAUAGAUACAUCUCUAAGUGGUAUAGCAUGCUAAUUCAUUUGCAUUUUCUUUAUAUUUUAUUUUGAGUCUUUUCAUUUCAUUUUUAUUUUUAGUGUUUGAUUUGUGUAAGACUAAGUUGAAAGAGCGAGUCCAGCAACAAAUGAAAUCUCAAGGUUGGGUCGGGCGAAAAGGAAAAUUUUAUAGUUUAUUCUUAUUUAAUAUUUUUAAAAAUUAUAAUUUUAUUAUCUAUAUUUUAUUCCUCUUGAAAAAAAAUUAUGUAUAGGUUUUUAUUUAGAUAAACAGCUGGAUUUUAUUCAUUUAUUUCAAAACAAUACAAUCAAAAUGAGCCUUCCCAAUAAGCCCAAUAACCCAGCAGCAAGAGUUUGCUCUAGAAACGUCCAUGUGAACAGCCUUAAAAAUUAAUCAGCAAAAUUCCUGAAAAACAACAACUGCAACUGGAGUAAAAGCCCCUCUUUAAUUUUUCGUUUCUUUCCCAGAAACGUUAAAAAACCCUCCAGCUUCCUUUCUUCUCUAAUCUCUCCUCCUUCAGAUUACUACAUCGGAGCAAAGGAAUCUCAUUCUGGCAACACCACCCCCCGCCGGUCUCUUUCCACUGCCUCUUCUGCAUAUCCAGUUACUCCGUUUCUCAUAAAUCUUUGUUCCCCGUUCUUCAACCCUUCUGUGGCUAACAGAUGGCUUCUCCAUUCAUCGGUCAGUGGUCGUGCUUGAACUUGCAGAUUUGGAAACCUUUUGGAAACCUCCAUCCGAUAACCAAAUCCGAAUAACAUAUAUUGUUGACUAAGUUUGAACUUAAAAAUGAACAGAAAGACAAUAGCAGGGCAAUAUAAUUAGACCUUCUUUAUUGGAAAUACAUCAAGAUUUUGAAUCAUUGUAAAUGAACAAGUUACUAAUGAAUUUGAGACCUUCUGGUCUCAUGCUACAUCUGGACCAGCUAUGGUUUCCUGUUGCUUGAUAUCUUCAAUCAGUAGUGCAAUGUUAAGAUAAGAAGAGCCUCCUUCUUCAACAGCUUUCUUCGCCAUCUCAGCUAGGUUUCUUGCCCUUUCCCUUCUCUCUUCUCCUUCCUUUCCUUCAUCCAUUAAACUCUCAACAGCUUUUUUAAUAUCUUCACUCUUCACCAGCACCCCAUAUUUAUCUUCCUCCCCCAUAUGCACCACAAAUUCCACCCCAACUCUAACACCAACUUUCAGUACUUGCACAAGGUGCUUCUCGUUAAAGAACUGCUCGGCAAACAAGGGCCAUGUUAUCAUUGGCACCCCACAACUGAUUCCUUCAAGUGUGGAAUUCCACCCACAGUGUGUCAAAAAUCCUCCAACGGAGGGGUGUGAUAAAAUUAACAGUUGCGGUGCCCAUCCUCUUAUCAAAAGGCCUCUUCCUUUUACCCUUUCUUCGAAUCCAUCUUCGGCUAACCAUUUUUCCAUUUCUUCUCUUUUAUAUCCUCCUCUAAUAACCCAAAUGAAGGGUUUAUUUGAUGCUUCCAAGGCUAAACCCAGUUCCAUUAACUGAGGAGGUGUUAAACGGUUGAGGCUUCCAAAGCAAACAUAGAUUACUGAGCUUGCAGGCCAGGAAUCAAGCCAUUUCAAGCAUUGGUUUUCAUCUGUUAGAGCCUCGUUACCUCUUUUAGCUUUAUCAAUGUUAUCCUUGUUGCAUAAUGACGCAGGACCUACGCACCACACUUUAUGUUCUUUGAUCUUUUGAUAUGAUUUCGCAUAUUCGGCUUCCAACUCCUCGAAGCUGUUUACUAUUGAUCCGUAAGCUCCUUCUUCAGCUGCUAUUAUCUUCUUACUAAGCUCUUUCAUGUUUGAUCUUGGAUUGAGGUUUCCAGGUAACUGCCCUAUAGUGAAUUCGAUUUGAUCGGGCAGUCCCGGCACAGCAAAAGGCUCUCCUUCGGAGACACAUUCAUGGACCUUGGAAGUGCUUAUGUUAUGACUGCACAAGUGAGUGAAACAGCUUUUUCCAUCAAAUAAAAUCCUUGGAACAUGAAGCUUGGAGGCGAUUUCACCCAUCCAAGUGAAGUGCUUAUCAUGUAUUAUGCAGUUUGGACAAGGCUUUAGCUCACGUAAUAGCUUCUCCAGUGGCACCUGCAGCAUGCUCAUUGCAGAAUGGAAGUUGCUCAUGAGGUCCAUGGAAGGGAGAUUGUCGACUGUUUCACACCCAUCUGGCAAACCGGCUUCUGCAGCCGGGAAUCGAAGUUCAAGAACUGAGAUGGAUAGCUUGGAUCCAAUGUCGCGAUUGACACCUGCACUAAAACGAGCAGCAUUCUGAGGUGUGGUAAUUAUAGUAACGAUUACAUUACGGUCAGCCAAUAGCCUGCCUAUGUCUAUCAAGGGAAGAAGGUGCCCUUGGCACAUAAAGGGUAUCAAUACGAAAUGAGGUUUGGUAGACUUCAAGGCCAUUGCUAAUUGGAGAUUUAAGGAUGGCAGAUAACUUAUCAGGCAAAUAUGGUUUUUUUUUUUUUGUUGGUUCUUUCAUCAGCUCAUUUUUGCUGUUAUAUUUAUACAUGGUUAAUGGUUUAAUAGUUUGCAGAUGCGUAAUGGAAUUGGUUUUGAGUUUGACUGAUUCAUGAAUACCGAGUACUUUUACUUCCGUUCUCCUUGAAUUUCGCGUUGGAUGGUCAACAUGCCAUUGUCAAAGGUUUACAAACACACGACAACAAAUAAUAUGAAUGAAAAGUAAAACAUAGCUAGCAAACAGGCAUAAGUUCAAUAAAAACAACUGGAUUUCUAUUAUCAUCUUUAACUAAAACAAAUUGAAAUUAAAAGAGAUGCAUCAGAUUAAUCUUACAAAUUUCAUUAUCUAGUAUACUUUAAAAAAACCUAAAAAUUUUGAGCUUAGUACAAUGAAUUCAUACCAUUAUUGUAUUUAAAUUCUAAUAUCAACAUUGUCUCUAGGAGCCCAAUUUUACUUGGGCCCAAUAAUAAAACAAAACCAAAUAAUAAAAUUCUAUUUACAAAUAGGGCCCGAUAUAUUAUAAGUCCAAAUAACCCAAAUAAAAAAAAACUUUAUACCCCUAACGUUUUAAGUUUUUAAGAAAAAAAAACUAAACAGAAACUCUAAUCUCUAAGCCUCUAGUCGUCGCCGCUCCUAUGCCUUCGACAUGUCAACACGAACGUCGCUCAAGGUCUAACGCCUCUGGAGCGCCUCUUCCCACCAUCGGCCAAGGACACCUGCAAAACAGAAAAACAAUGACAAAAGCAACAACACGAAAAAUAAAUAGUAGAAAAAAUAGUAAAAAUAAAUACUGUAAUACAUUUGGCUAUAAAAGCCAGACAAAAAAAUGUAAUAGAAACAAACGAAAAGCAAUCAAAAAACACAAAAAGAAAAAGUUAAAAGGUGAUUUUUUUCGAUUUAUUUAUUUUUUGUCGUAACAAAUAAGAAUAAAUAUAAAAAAAGGAGGGAUUUUUACUGGUGUCACUUGUCAGAGGAGAGAGAAACCUAAAGGUUUCUUGACUUAAGAUCCGUUUUUUGCCACUUUUUUGACAAUUUCAACCCUAAAACAAGGUUCCUAAAAAGAAAAGGGGUAAAGAGGUGGGUUUUGAAAUUUUUCGGCCACCGGGGACGAACGCGGUGCCGAUGGCCGACUUGGGACGAUUUUAGAGAAAAAAAGGAUUUACAAUUUUUUUUUUAAACUGAGGUUGAACAUGAUUUUUUUAAAAAAAUUUUGGUACUUAUAGGGCCCUUACAUGACAUCAUUUAGGGCUGGCCUCAGAAGCCCCAAAACGACGUUGUUUUGUAGCGCGACCCAAAAAUCGACUUGACCCACCUUAAGAUUAGCAUGUUUUCGUGACCAAGGUCUAUUUACGACCCCGAUCCUUCCAAUUUUGCGUCCUGCUUCAAUUUAGUCUUGUUCUGUUUUUAAUUUUACCACUUUUAUUUAUUUUAUAUUCAUUUUGGUCAUUAGGCCAUUUUUGGGAAAUAGACACCUAAAACGGUGUCGUUUUGAAUCCGACCCAAAGAUCAACUCGAUCCUUCCUAGGAUCCACGUGUUUUAGAAAAAAUGGUCUAUUUGCGACCCUGGUCCUUCCGCUUUUAGACCCUUUUUAAUUCGGUCCUAAUUUCGAUUUUUAUUUUUAAGAUUAUACCUUUUAAUUUUAAAUUAUUUUCAAUUUAUUCCUCCGAUUUUCCAAAAGAAUGGAGCGUUUAAUGGGCCUGGGAAUAAUUUCCCUGUUGGUCCUUGCUCUUUUGUGCGCAUUACAUUCUAGCCCCUUUAUUAUUUAUUUUAUCCCGAUUUAUCCUUUUAACUUCAUUUAAGUUACGAUUAAGUCAUUUAUUUAUUUUAAUUCUUUUAUUUAUUUAUUUACUUAUUUAUUAUUCCUUCACUUUUUUUAAUAUUUAAUUUUUUUAUUUUCCUUUUAUCGAGCAUUUAUUUUUUUCCUUUUUCUUCUUUUGUGCCUUUAUUAUUAUUGUUAUUAUUAUUAUCUAUUUAUUUAUUUAUUUAUUUAUUUAUUUAUUUAUUACUUCUUUAUUUUUUAUACAUACUUAAGAAUUAGAUUGUGUACAUGCUUUUAUUAGUGCAUUUUUUAUUUUUUAUUGUCAUUAUUAUUUUAUUUUAUUUUUUGGUGUUCUUGUUAUUUUAUUAUUUCUUUUAUUAUUUUUGGCACUUUCAUGUCAUGUCCAUUUAUCUUUUAAUUAUGCAUCUUCCAUUUUUUAUUUAUCUUAAGUUACUUUAUUUAUUUGUUAUUGCUACAAUAUGAUUAUUAAUAUAAUUAUUAUAUUCUUAUUAUUAUAGUAUUCCUUUAUUUACUUAUUAUUUAUCAUUCUACUCACAUAGCCAUUUUAUAUUAUUUCAUUAUCACUAUAUCAUACAUUAUGUUUAAAUGCAUAUCACUUUAAAUGUUACGUUCAUUGUUGCACGAUGUAUAAAAAAAGAAAAAUUUUAAAUCGAGACAAUGUUCAUUAUUUUUGGAAUUAGAAGAGUCAUGUUCCUAACUUACGGAAUAUGGCUUCUUUUUGAAACCAAAUUAGUCGAAUAUCUAUUUCAAAAAUAAAAAAACGAGAUUUAAGUAACAAACAAAUGGCGUUUAUUCUUUUCUCCGAGGAUUUAAGGCAUUAUGUCCUAACUUACGGGACAUGAUCCUUUCUUCUCGAUUAACCUGAAAUAUGCCAUUUUUCGCGAAAACUAGUUUAAUUAAGUAAUGUCUUAAUACAAAAAGGGAUUGUAUUUUAAAUUCUCUUCAAAUUUUCAGUUCUCGAUAUUAAGACAUCAAGUAAUCAAUUAGGUACCAAUUUUGGGCGUAACAAGAAUGCUAAUCCUUUCUCGUGUAUAACCGACUCCCGAACCUAUUUUCGGAUUUGUAAAACUGGAUAUUAUAGUUUUAACAAAUCUAACGUUUUACUAAAAUGAUUGAGUUUUGAGGUGAUCCAAUCACACCAAAGUAAAAAAGGUUGGUGGCGACUCCAUCUUAGUUUUCAAAAUAAAGUCGAUUUUAAAAAAGGUUUCGACAUUGUCAACAUCUUUUUUACUUUGCACCUAAAUAAAAGUAAAAAUGUCAGCAUCAUGGAUGUCGGCACUCUCAAAAGACUGAAGGCAUUCACGUAACACCCCUAACCCAUAUCUGUCACCGGAUUAAGAUUACGAGGAAUUACUGGACAAAACACAGCUCAAAAUAGUCUUUUAAUUUUAACAUGUACAAAAUUAUAAUGCAUGAACCUUACAAAGCAUAGUUCGAACCACAUGUUUUUCACAUUCAUAAAUCGAGUAUACUCCAAGUCAUUCGUAUGUAUGCAUUUGAUUCAUUUAUAAAUUACUAAUCAAAUCACAUAUAAAACACAUAACUAAUGAAAUUAUUCAAGUUUUAUUAGUAAAAAUCAUAUACGAACCAUGCUUUAUCAAUUCAAUUACUUCAAUAUUAUUGAUCAAUUCCAACUAUUAGAACUAAGUUGUUAUACAACAAAACCAAUUUACACAUGUUUCGUAUUUAUAGGAUUUAAACCGUCUAAGUCAUUUCAAUCCAUGUCUUUAACUAAAGAACAAACGUAACAUUUAAUAAACAUUAUACAUGCGCCUGUUAAACUAAUUUGGCCAUAUCACAUAGUUCAAUAAUCAUUUGCACAUAAAACAUUAGGUAACUUUAUACAUGACCAACUAUAUUUUAAGUACACCUAAUUUGUAUGCUAAAUAUCACAUAAACAUAACAAAUCCAUUAUCCCUAUUUUCGUCAUCAAAUUGGACUCCAAUUAUCAAAUCCAACCAUCAUAAAACAUGAACAUCAUAUGUCCUUUUCUAAAUAUAUUUGUCGAAUCAAAACAUGUCAAUUGCAUAUUAUAUGCUUCAUGCCAAAAUGUCAUAUACUCCACCAAAUCAUUUCUCACUUAUUCAACUAUCAAAUUUUGAAAUAUAACACAUUUUAAAAUAACCAUAUGACCACAAAUCAUAAUCAUCAAUAGCCAUUACUUAUGCACUAAAGUAACUAACAAAUUAGCAAUUAAAAACACAUAUAUUCCUUAUCAAGACUUUAACCUGCAUAUAUGACACAUCAAAUUUGAGUAUUAAACCAACCACCAUAGUCUCUAAAACAUCUAUCCAUGAAUCAAUAACAUAUGCAUAGAAUUAAAAUACAUAUAUAUACCUAGCACAAAGCCGAAUGCAUAUACUCAUUAUAAACCUAGUUUGUCUCAUAAUAUGACCGAAUCAAAUUUAUCAAUUACAGUAUUUUCCAAUUCAAUUCACGUAGCAAAUUAUACAUAAAAAAUUAGGUCAUUAUUAAACCAUACCAAAUAGCCAAAUUCACAAGGCAUAGCAAUAUCAUCUUAUAACUUAUCUUAUAAGAACAUAUACAAUGAAGCAAAAACACAUUCAUCAACUAAGAUAUACCACAUAUCAUACUUCCAAAAUGAACUACUUAUAACCGAAAGUACUCAACCAAUAACAACAUUAUUAAGCCAUUUUCGCAUGGCUAAAUAUAUAUACAAAUAAAAAAGAACCAAAUCGAAACUAGCCUAUACAUGUCACUUAACCAAAUCUCAAAACAUUAUUUACCAAAAUGAUAACUGGAUAGUGUGAUGACAUCUCCAACAACUUCCAACCCGAGCUAUCCCUGAAAUUCUAUAGACAUAAGAAAAACACACAGAGUAAGCUUUGAAAGCUUAGUAAGCCAUAAGCAAAUAAAUCAUUUCAAUGAUAUUUAUAAACCAAUAUCACUAAACCGAAUUUAACAAAUCUAAAUCAUAUACAAACAUUCAUUGAACUCGUAAAUUCAUAUAACUACAUUAAAUAACUCAACUUAUCUUAUUUAUCAAUAAAGGUAUAAUCAUGCUUUCAAAUUCGAGUAACAACUGUUAGCUCAAUCAUAUAAAUCAAACUCGCACAUAUUCAUUAUAUCGCCAACCAAACAUAGUCAUUUAUUAAAAAUUAUACAUAAAGUUAUAUCAAUUUCUUUAUAAGCACUUCCAAACUCAAAAAUCCAUAAACCAAAUUCGUAUACUUGAAUCAUAUAGUUAACCAAGAUCAACUUUAUUUUACUAAAUAUAUAUUACAUAUAAAGCAUACACCAACUCAACCAUUUUAAUUUCAUUAUCUAUUUAAGUUUUCGAACUAGAUAUCAUAUAGUAAAGCCAUGUUUCUUAUUUCAUAAUUCUCAUGUCCGAAACAUAGAACCAUAAUUUCAUAUAACGAACAUAUAUAUAUAACACAGCAUUUAUUUAUAUACACUCAUACCAUUCUUUAUCAUAUAUUUCACAUAUAGUCAUAUGAUACAUAUUUAUCUUUCGUUUCUGAAUUUCAUAACAAUUCACACGUACCUAAAUCGGAUACAAUUUCACAUUUUUAUUCAUUUCUCAGAAUGCUCGUUGAACCAUUCGGAAUUGAAUAGGACACUCAAAUAAUCACACAUAUCACACAAUGCCAACGUUCCGGAUGUGGUCUUACAUGUAAUCACAUAUCGAUGCCACUAUCCCAGACAAGGUCUUACACGAAACAAAUACGAUGCCGAUGUCCCAGACAUGGUCUUACUCAUAACCACAUAUAUCAAUGCCAACGUACUAGACGUGGUCUUACUCGCACAUAUAUAUCAAAAUUACAUAUCGAUGUUGAUGGACGUCGAAUCCACCAAAAAUAAUUCCUACAAAAUAGCUCUAAUUAGUAGUAGAGUGGUAGUAGGGUCGAGUCCACAGGGAUUGGUACUCUAAUCAACUUUCGAGUUUGGCUUAUGAACAGAAUGUCGUGUUUAGGGCCGUGGCUAGAAUCUUGCCCACAACUCAAAACGUACCAACUGAGAAAUAAGCAAAUAAAUAAGUAAAGCAGGGGAUUUUGAAAUUGAGUAGAAACUAAAUAAUUAAAACUGCUAAGAUAAAUAAUUAAAUAAAUCAGAAAUUAAAUUGGGAUUUGCAAUCAAAUGUAAUAAGCAUUAGCCUUAGACUCGGUAAAUUCCGUGUUGAGCAUCGAUCCUCAAAAAUUAAUCUUCUCCUCCAAUUGAUAAGCUGGUUAUAGCAGUUAAGAACGUCCUAACCAUCAAUUCUUCCUCUAGUAGCUGGUUCCGGUACGACCUGCAAACCAACCCUUACCGAUUAUCUAACCGAGAUACACAUGUUCCCGAUUCAAGAUUCUGACAGCCUUGCAUUCUGAAAAACCCAACUCAAAUCAACGGCCUCAAUCGUGUGGGUCGUUUAAACCCGAUCACCUCUUCCUCGAUUUGUUCUCGAAAAUUUGAAUACAGCACGGCUGACUCGAAUCUCCAACUGUAAGCAAACACGAAUCCAACCCAACAUGCACUUUGACUUGAAAUCGAAUUCAACUUUAAGGGAUGAUUGGUCUAUCCCGAUACUUAGGAAAAAGGUGAAUACCGAUUGGAAGGAUUUUAGGUGCAAGUACGAAUCUCGCAAUUCUCGACCGAAAAGAACACCGGUCUAAAGCUAAGAAAGAAGUUAGUGGAGCAUGAAUUUAUUCAUGCUUAAAAGUGGAAGAUGAUAAAUUUAUGUGAAAGGUGAUGGAAAUUGGAAAGGAAAAGUACUUGGAAGGCAAUUAGCCCAAUUUGAGAAAAGAAACAAAACCAAAUGAAAAUUGACAGAAUGCUAAACUCCAAUUUGAAAAGGGAAAAGGAGAGUAUUUCUAUUCCAAGUAGAAGUAGGAAUACAAAGACAAGAGAUGAUUUUCUAAUAACUAAAAGCCCUUGAAAGUUUCUGCUAGGAUUGCCGGGACGGGUGUGGUACCUUUAUCAAGUCGAUCGAAUAAAUCUGAGACGGCUUCAUCUAUGUGUCCGAGUGCCUUAGGAAAGAUGAUCAAACCGUAGAGGCUUAAGGCAAAAACGUCGACCCUUUUCUUCGAAUCCGGGUGUGCAAAGAUCAAGUCCCUCAAAUUCCUCCAAGGAAUACACUUACUAUCCCCUUUUUGCUUGAUGCGAGCUGCAACCCAUUGCUCGCUCAUCCCUGCGAUAUUCAUCAAUUUCUUCAAAAAGGGAGGGACGUGACAAGUCUUGAAUAGGCCCUAUCGGCCUGAAUCUUCGGGUAAUUAAGUAACGCCAUGUAUUCCUCCACAGUAGGUAUUAAAUCGACUCCUCCGAAGGUGAAGCAACUGUAAGCGGGGUUCCAAAACUGUGCGAGGGCCCGGAACAAGUACUUGUUCACCUUUACAUCAAGCAAAUAGGGUAAGUCACCGUAGUUACAGUAAAAAAGUUGCUUAACCUCGGUAUUCCAACUAUUCCAUAUAUCCCUUAAUUCUUGAAGGUCGUUCUGAGUCACACUGAUGCGAGUGAAGUCCCACAACUCCGAUUCAUAUCCCUCGGUCAAACUAUCUCCUUUCUCUUGUUGUGUUCUCUCGAACCACACUCGGACGGCCGCAUUAUCCUUCACUCUAUUAAGAAAUCCUUUUUCCAAGCUAAACUCUCCUAUCUAGUAACAGAACAUGAAUCAACACCCUUUUAUGAUGAGAUGCCAUGCGAAAACAACAAAACACAACAAGUCAGUAUUAUAUACAAAGAAUAGAAUUCAAAGCAAAUAAGGAAUAAUUAAGCACCUAAUCGGGUAACCACUAAGGUUCGGUGUGGUUCUACCUAGGGUAGGCUCUUAGGGCUCAUUAUAUGUGGUUCAGUUCUAAAGUAAAGGUACCUGAAUCGGUAGAUUCCUCGAUCCUCACCCAUUAUAGGCUCAUAGGGACCGAGUUCAAUUCAGGGGAAUACAUUUCCAUACGGCUAUACGGAGAUGAAAACCUCACGAAGACGUAGGUACGAAUGUAUCCCGAAUGUGAUCCACUAUCCUAUACGGAGGUGAAGACCUCACGAAGGAGUAGUUUCACACUCCCAAUUAAAGGGGUAAAAUUGACCAACAAUGCAAUAUGAUGUGCAAAAGUAUAGUUAAAAGAGUCGAACAAAAAGUCAAUCGUAUAAAGACACAGAGACCAUACAGAGGAAAUGCAAUGAUGCAAUGAAAUGACCGUAAGUUUAAAACAGAUUUUCAAAUUUUGACGAAGAACAAAAAAUGAUCAAUUUUAUGGCUCGACUCUCGAAAAACCAGUCCCCAGCGGAAUCGCCAAGCUGUCGAAACCAUUUUUUUGAAAACAGGAAUCAACUUGUUUUUGAAAAUGAAAAUCAAAACAGGAGUCGCGACCGAUCUUUAUUAGGUGUGAUCGGAUCACAUUUGUUUUAAUAAGACAUUUUAGUUUACUAAAAUGGUGUUUUUGGUCUACGAAACUCGAGAGAACCGGUUCGAAAGUUGGUUAGGUGCGAGGAAGGAUUAGCACCCUCGUCACGCCCAAAAUUGGUACCGAAUUGAUUAGUUAGUGUCUUAAUGUCAAAAUUUGAAAAUUGGGAAUAGAUUUAAAAUACGAUCUUUUUUAUUAACGUUAAUUUUAAAAAGUUCGAAUUAAAUCAAAGUGAUUGCUAAAGAUUUCCUCGUCUUGAGAUAUCGAAGUAUCACAUCCCGUAAGUUAGGACACUAUACCAUGAACUCCCGAGCGCAAGUUGUCUUUAAUUUUAAUUGGAAUUCCGUAUAUUUUAAAACUCAAAAGGAUAUUUGGCAAUUUAGGACCAACGAGAAAAUUGAAACCCCGUAAGUUAGGGCACGGUUCCUCGAUGUUCCAAAACGCUAAACAUUGCGUUGUUUUGAAAAUUCGUUUUGAAAUAUAGCGAGUAUGAUAUUUAACGAUGCGCAAUGUUUGUUUGAAUUAAAACAAAAUAAUUUAUUGGAUAAAUAUAACGAGGCUUGAUUCAUGAGGCGAUGAUAUGAAAUAGGAAUAUAGUAAAUGUGCAUAGAAUAAUAAUUCAUGGAUACAAUAUUAUACGAAUGAAUAACAAUAAUGCAAAAAAUAUGAAGUAAACGAAUUAAAAUACACAAUAGCAAUAAUCACACAACAUACAUUAUUUAAAUACUAAUCAUUAAUAAUCAAAGACAAAUGAAUUAAAUUAAAAAAAUUAUAACGCAAAUUAAAAUGAAUAAAACGUAAAAAAAUUUUAAAAUGAUAAGAAAUGAAUUUAAAAUAAAUAAUGAAAAAAGAAAUUUAAUCAACAAUGUACAAAACAAUUUAAAAAUAGAAUAUAUGUAUAAACAAUUUUAGAAUAGGUAAUAUGGGCCAAAGUUUGAAAUAAAUAAUAUACGGGAAAAGUUUAAAAUGAAUAAUAUGUAAAAUAAUUUAAGAUAAUUAAUAUAUGAAUGAGUUUAAAAUAAAUGUUAUGUAAAAAGAAACUUAAAAUAAGUAAUAUACAAGACAUCUAGAAUUAACUAGUAUAUAUAUAAAAAAAAAUAUAACGAUUUGAAAUUGAUAAUAUAUAUAAUUUUAAAGUAAAUAAUAAAACAAUUUAAAAUGAAAAAUGCAUAAAGCAAGUUUAAAAUAAAUAAUGUAAAAGAAUUUUAAAAUCUAUAUUACACAAAGCAAAUAAAAAAGAUACAUAUGAAUAAUUUUAAAAUAGAUAAUAUAUAUAAAUAAAAGUGUAAAAUAAAUAAUAUGGAAUAAGUAGAAUGGGUUUAAAAUAAGGUAAAUAAAAUAAUUUUAAAAUAAAUAAUAUAUGAGUUAAUUUAAAAGUAAUAGAUAAAAAGUUUAAAAUUAUAAUACGUAAAAAGAAUUAAAAAUAGACAAUAUAAAUAUACUUUGUAAUAGUAAUAGUUUAAAGAUAAUAAAAAGAGAGUUAUUUGAAAUACAUAAUAUAAAAUAACUUAAAAUAUAAAAUAAUUUGAAAUAAAUAUAUAAUAAUUUUUAAAGAAUUAUAAAUAUCUAAAAAGCUUGAAAUAAACUAUAUGAAUGCAUAGAUAUAAUAGGUAAGGAAUAAAAUUAAAUAAAUAAUACAUAUAAAAUAGAUUAAGGUAACACAUAUAUACAUAAAGCAAAUUAAGAUAAAUAAUAAGAAUUUGAAUAAUCAGCACAUUAAAAUAAGUUAGAAUAGAUGUAAAUAAGUAACAUAUAAAAAUAUUUGAAAUAACAUGUAAAUGAAGCAUUUAAAAAGGGUUAAUAAAUGAAUUAAAUAGAUUUAGGACAUGGCUAAAAAUAAAUUAAAAUUCGGGGUAUAAAAAUAUAAAUACUGGAAAGUUAAUUAGGGAUCAAAACAUCUGAGGGCUAAAUUUAAAAAAACAAAAGAAGACAGAAAAUGGGGCCUGAUUGAAUGGGGGUUGAAAAGGGGAAGGACUAAUCGCAAAAUCUCCCUUUUAGGGAGAAUGCACAAACCCCCAAUUACACCAAACGGUGUCAUUUCAUCAUCAUCAUUUAAACCAAAACCCUUUUUUUUUUUUCAUUUUCAGCCCUUUUUUUUUUAAAAAAUAGAAAGCUUUUUUGCUUUCUCUCAUUCUCCUCUUCUCCCCUAUUUCUCUCUUUUUGGUUAGGGCUUCAUAUACCCAUCAUCGCCGCCGUUGUCACAGCGCCACCACAGGCGGUGGUUGGGCGGUGUGAGCUGGGCUUUUCAGCCCCGGUUUAAGGCGCCCCGAAGGCCAAGCCUUCAACCUAAAAUGGUGCGAAGGUGAAAGGGGUUGUCCCUCCCUAAACGACACGAUCCCGACGAUGGAGGAGGGAUCUCCGUCGACGAAGCCACGGGCGAUUCCAGUGAGGCCCUCUUCUCCCCUUUUUUACUUAUUUUAGGCCCACCCUUUUUUUAAAAUAGUUUUGGAGUGAAAAAAAAAAGAGAAGAAAAUGAAACUAAAAAAACGAGUAGAAAACAAAUAAGAGAAAACCGAAAUCCACCUUUUUCAAACUUUGUUCUGCCUUUUUUGAUUAAUAGUGCAUGUAAAAAAAUACAGAGGGAUCGAGUGUGGCCUUUAUAGCCGGAUACAUGCUCGUUUGUUUCAACCUUUGUCUGUUUCUUCAUUAUUUUUCUCUUGGUUGUUUGCUACUAUUUUUUGUCCUUUUGUUGGUUGUCUUUCUUUUGCUUGCUUGUGGUUUUGUUUUGCAGGUGACGUGAGCAGUCAGGGCGCAUGCGAGUAGGCCUGGUGGCGUGAGGGGACGGUGCCGUGCGAGGUGGCCAAUGGUGAAGAGGCUGGUGGCUGAAGGCAUACGGCGGCUGCACCUUGAGGGCUUGGGUUUUACUUUGCUGAAAAACAUUUAAGAUAAUGGGCUUGGGUUUGAUGUAAAUUGGGUUUGGUUUAAUGGUUAGAUGGGCUUGUUAUUUUUUGUAAAAUGGACUUUACUUAUUUGGGACUUUUAUUUUGGAAUUAAUUUAGAUUGAAUUGAUUUGGGCCAAAAAUUGGCCAUUACAGCCCCUAUUUAUAUAUAUAUAUGGGGUUUAUUAAAAAUAGCCUAAUCCUAAAUUAAUAAAAUAAAAAUAAAUAAAAUUAAAUAAAAUAAAAUAAUAUCUUCUAUUUUUAGCUUUUUACAAAGUCAAAAUUGAUAUUAAAUCCUUGGCUUUCCCAUCUUUAUGAUUUGGCCCCAACUUAACGAUUCGUCUUUCAAUUUAGCCACUUUUUGCUUUUUUUUUUACCAAUUGCAUCGCUGAGAAGAUUAAAUCAUAAAAACACCAAUUAAGCGG
This 52047-nucleotide long non-coding RNA is filed under the name Gossypium barbadense (sea-island cotton). RNAcentral describes it as "long non-coding RNA (GBAR_LNC008481)". The record is from RNAcentral. Lineage: Eukaryota; Viridiplantae; Streptophyta; Magnoliopsida; Malvales; Malvaceae.